AUAUUAUGUUAAAAAUUUUAUAUUUAUAUAAAAAAUUUUGCGCACUUAAUUGAGGAGAAUUUUUUUGUAAAUUGUGAUCCUGUUAAAUAUAAUAAUAUAUGAAUAUCUAUUUAUAUCAGCUUAACUUUUUAGAGUACAACGGUUGUUUUAUAUAUUUCACUUAGUAUCAGAGCAGGAGUUUUUGAGUUUGAGCCACGUCAGACUUCAACCCUAUUAAUUUUCUCCUAUUUAAUUCAAGUUCAUGUCAUAGGCCUUAUAAAAAGUAUCGAGUCCAGAUGUGAGCUUAAACUCUUAGAGUACAACAAUUGUAGAGAAACUGCGCUCCGAUCAGAUACACCUCGCGUGUAAUUGGUAAACUUGCAUCAAACCCUAGAUGCCAUAAUUCCAACUCCAAUGGAAAACCCUAAUAUUAAAUCUUGUACCAAAAACUUGGACCACCAAAGACCAAUUUGAAAUUAUUAGAAGCCCUAAAGUGGACCAUAAGUUCAAAACCGACCAAAACUUCUAAUUCUUAUAAUAUUGGUUUGUUGAAGAGCAUAUACAUAUAAAUAUAUAUUGUUAUAUAACAUUGUUUAUAAUUUUUAAAUUUAAAUCCAAGCACAUGCACUCACUCAUAUAUUGAGUCACCUGAAGAUGUUUAGGGUCUAUAAAUAAAGGUCGUAGGUGUAACCCAUUAACAUGCGAAUCCAAACUGAAUUUGACCUUAAUUUUUGCAUUCGGGUACUUAAAUUUGGAUCCUAUACCUUUAGUUUUGGCUUAUUGGCGAAAAAAAAUAAUGAUAGAAGGAUUCGAUAUUUUACGUUUUGGAUGGAAUUCUGAUUUGCAAGUACUAGCGCAAUGGCUUAUUGGAUUCAGAUUAGGUCCAACACAAAUCCGUAUCAUUUUUGCUUCCCCUUUGGUUUUCGACUCAUUUUACUUAGUUGAAAUAAUUUUUUUUUUCAAUUUAAUGAUAAUGUUAGCUUUUCAUUAUUAUAAUAAUUUAUUUGUAAAGUAUGAUUAAAGUAAAUAGAGAAAUCGUCAUACUGCGAUCUUACAAUAACAAGGAAUUUAGAAUAAACUGUUCUAAUACCAUAUUAAUCAGAAUAUUGGUCUCGCAAAAAAUAAGUCCAAAAAUAUAUAUAGUAACGCUUAAUACAUUUUACCUAACUUUUAUAACAUAAAUCAAGGGGGAAAGAUAUGAAUUAUAAAAAGAUUUGAUUUAUUAAAACCCAAUCAACUACUUUUCCAAACUGUCACAACAAAAUCUAUGGUUUGCAUCAUCAAAUGCGCAUGUCAUGGGAAAAGGCAAUAAUGGGGUGAUGGAGUUGAGCUUUUUAUUUUAUUUUCUUUGUUAGUCUCUCUUGUGAUUAUUCUCUCAUAAUGCAACUAACGGAGUUUCCCAUGAUGAGGGGAGGGGGCUUUUAUUUUAGAAGUGCUUCCACAUGAUUAGAUGGGCUCAUUGUAAUGAUUAGCAUGUGCAUUCUCUCUGCCCUUUUGAAUGCUUUGCAUUGUAAAAAAAAAUCAUAUACUUUUCCUUGUUAUAGGUAUACAUUAAAUUAAAUAGAUAAAGUGAUGUAUUAUUAUUAUUAUUAUAUAUAUAUAUAUAUAUAUGAAUAAUAUAUAUAUAUAAUAAUAUAUAAUAUAUAUAUAUGUAUAUAUAUAUAAUAAACAUAUAUAAAAGCGUGUAGAAAUUCCAACAAUGACAGACGGAAUCCAAAAAGGAUAUAAAUAAUAUUCCCUACGAAUGGUUAUGAUUAAUUGUUAAAAAUAUCUCAAAUAAAAAACGAAGCGUUAUAUGAUCAAUCUAUUAAAUAUAAAAAAAUAUUAUCUACGAAUGGUUAUUAAUUAAUCUCAAAUAAAAUAAACGAUUAUGAUCCCUAUUAAGUAUAAAAUAAUAUUUCCUGACGAAUGGUAUUUAAUUUGUUAAAAAUACUCAAAUAAAACAAACGGUUAUAAACAAUCUAUUAAAUCUCUACUAUAUUAUAAUAAAAUAUAUUCCCUACGAAUGGUUAAAUCAAUUUGUUAAAAAAAUACUCAAAUAAUAACAGUUAUGAUCAAUCUUUUAAAACAUAGCAUUUCUAUUCAUCUAUAAAUUCAUUCUUACGAAUGAUUAUAAUCAAAUUGUUAAAAAUAUUUCAAAUAAAAACAAACUGUUAUGAACAAUUUGUUAAAAAAUAGCAUUCCUAUUCAUCUAUUUUACAUUAAAAUUAAAAUUUGAGUUUAAAAUUAUGAAUUAAAUUUAAUUUUUGAUAUCAAAUUUGAAUAGUGCAAUUAAUUUUUAUAUUACAGUGGAUCAAAAUUAAAAUUUAAGUUUUAAAGUAAAUGUGAAUUAAAUUUUGACGCCUUAGUUAAAACACAUAUUUAAUUUGAUUCAUCAAAAAUCAAAGAGUAAUAUAAAAAAUUUCGAUGUAUAUAAAAAAGAACACUAUAGGAUAUUUGUAAAUAUUUUCUAAUAAAAUAUAACAUAUUAAUUUAAAUAUAAUUUUAUUGUAAAAUUUUGGAUAUAUAUAAUGUACAAAUUUAUUCGAUUUGAAAUAAAUAUAAAAUAAUGUUACGUGCAUUUGCACGUACAUUCAACUAUAUUAUAUAUAUAGAGUUGAUCUAGGAUACUUUACAAGUAUCAUUCCCAUUAUUGCUAUCCAGUUUUAACAUUAGAUCUACUUUUUGAUUACAAAUAGCCCUUGAAUCAAACUACUAUUCCACCUACCACGCACCUACACACGCAUCAUCUCAACCUCACAUCUCUCCAUCCAAGGUAAAAACACACAAGUAUCACUUGGUGUAUCACUUGUAAAGUAUUCUACCGCCUACAUAUAUAUAUAUAUAUAUAAUGAGUCCGCUAUUAUACUUUUAUGAGUAUGACUCCUUUAUACUCAUAAGUUUUUCAGCCCUUAAGAUUUGUUACACUGAUCAUUUCCAUCCGUUAGAUGCAUUACUAUUCAACAACUACCCACUCAACCAUGGGAGACCACUAUCAUUUUAAGUUGGGACCAUCAUUACCUAACCACAACUAUUCUAAAUCAAUCACAGUUAAAAAUUUAUGAUACAAGGGGGCCUAUACUCAUAAGAUAUAAGUAGCCCCAGCAUAUAUAUAUAUAUAUAUAUAUAAUACUAGGCGCCGUAUACUUAUCGGUAGCACGGAGGGCCUUCGGGCUACCAAGUUGUUUUCGAUAUGAUCGCAGCUUCCAAAUCGAUGAUGCUCCAUUAGAUUUGAUCUAUAUAAUUGAAAUAUUUAGAAACUAAAUUUCAUAAUUUCGGGCAUUCAUUUACCUAUCAAACAAUAGUCUAAAAUGAACGGCUGAAAAUAAAAAUCUCAUAAAAAAUGAUGAUAAAAGACUUAAAUUUAAGAUCAGAGUACUGAUCUUACUCUAAAUAGUGAAAAGAAUUUUCUAUAAAAAAUUUCAUCAGAUUUAGAUUAUUUUACAUACCGUUAAAUUCACAAACGCAUUACAUCUACCAUUAAAAUAGUCAAUUUUGAUACAUUUGAUCACUUAGCACAAAUGCUGUCGAAAAAUUAUGAAUUUAGUUUCCCAAUACUUUCAAUAGUGUAGAUCAAGUCUAACGGGCCGAUCGUCGAUUUAGAAGCCGCAUCAUCGAACAACAUUGGUAGCACAGAGCUUCCGUGCUACCUGAUAUAUACCCAGCCUAAGCUCUAUAUAUAUAUAAUAUAUAUAUAUAUAUAUUAUAUAUAAAUAAUAUGGACUGGAAUAUUAUUAAUAGUAUUUGGCUCUUUUGCUAUCGAGUUUUUUAAAUUCUUAUAUGAAAAAUUAUAUGUUAGGAUGAUAAUGGUCCCCCAGAGUUUAGUUGUGGUCCUGCUAGGGUUAGUGGGUAGUUGGUUGAAUAGUGUGAUAUAAAAGGUAGAAAUUGAUUAAAAUAUAGAUUUAACGGCUAAAAAAUUGAUAACAAAAAAGUCUAAAUAUUAUUCAUAGUAUCCACCCAACCCCAUAUAUAUAUAUAUAUAUAUAUAUAUAUAUAUAGGGUACGGCUACUAUAAUCUAUUAUGAAUACAUCGCUCUCGUACUUAUAAAUCGUUUUCGAUGAUAGAGCUUCCGAAUUAACGAUCCAUACCGUUACCGUUAUUUACAGCCAUUUAAAAAUUUCUAGAAAUCAAAUUUAUAUAUUUUCGACAUCAUUUACCUAACGAUCAAGAGUCACAAUUUGACAAUUUUUAAUGGCCGUAAUGGAUACUUGCUAGUUUAACAGUGUAAAAAAUCAGAAUUUGUGAAUUUUGAUAGAAAAUUCUAUUUACUACCUAGAUAAAGAUCAAUAACUCCGAUCUUUGAAUUGAAGGAUCCGAUCAUCCUUUUUUAGGACAUCGUUCGAUUUUUGACGGUUCAUCUUUAUGCCCGCUUGAUAGACUUUAUUAUGAUUUCAAAAUUUACGAAAUUUAUUUUUUAAAAGUUUCAAAUACUCUACAUCAUAUUUAACGAGUGGAUCGUCGAUUUCGGAAGCUCCAUCAUCGAAAACAACUUAUGAAUACGAGGGCUCCAAUACUUAUAAUAGUAUAAGUAGCCAUGUCCUAUAUAUUAUAUAAUUAUUAUUUUUAUUAAUCCGUAAUAACAAAAGCUGAGGGCCACGACCUUCUCUUUUUUAGAAUUUUUUUCUGAUUUUUUUUUUUAUUUUGAUAGUUAUUACAAUAUUUCAAAUUCUACAUAACAGUCUUCAUUUAAUACUAGCCGUUUCUAUGGCAAUUAAUUAUUUUUUAAAUUAGAAAACGGAUCUUCAUAAUUGCAAUUGAUAAAUUAUUUUAUUAUCUAUCCAUAAACCUAUAUUAAUUCUCUAAUCUCUGUCACGUGGCCAUGUGUAAGCUUAAUAAUUAGGGUAUAUGAGCCCAUCUUAUAUUUUUCACUCUCCAUGAAUGGAUUCCUGGUGAUUUUUCAAUUCUCUAUAAACAUGUCCUCUCCCUAUUUUAAAUCUAUAUAAAUUUAUAAAUUUUAUAUUCAUUAAGCGAUGUGACGCAACGCCCCUUAAUUUGGAAAUGUGGUCCUAUUAUUUUUUUUAAUUAAUUGAUUUUUUUUUUUCAAUUUAAAAAGCUUGGCAUUGCAAUAUGAAGAGUCUAUAUAUUAAUUGAUUCCCCAUUAAUAUUUUUAUUUUUUUAAUUAAUUAAAUUUUUUUUCUUAUUUAAAAAGCUUGAAUAAUGAAGAGUCAUAAUAUAAUUAAUUAAAAAAAAAUAAAAAUCAUCUUAAAAACUUAGAAUAUGAAGUCAUAUAUAUUUAAUAAAUUUUAUUAAUAUUUUUUAUUUUUUUUAAUUAAUUGAUUUUUUUCUCAUUAAAAAGCUGGAAUAUAAAGAGUCAUAUAUAUAUAUUAUAUAUAUAUAUAUAUAUAAUAGUAUAAUAUAAUAUUAUAUAUAUAUAUAUAAGAAGAAAAUAAAAAGUCAUACUUAAGAAGCUUGAAGAUAUGAAGAGUCAUAUAUAUUAAUAAAUUUCAUUAAUAUUUUUUUAUUGUUUUAAUUAAUUGAAUUUUUUCUUUUCCUAUUUAAAAAGCUUGGAAUAUAAAGAGUCGUAUAUAUUAAUAGAAGAAAAUGAAAAGACAUCUUAGAAUAUGAAAGAUCAUUUAUAGUCUAUAUAAAUGAUUGCACUUAUACUCAUUUUGAAUGAAUAAGAAAUGAUAUACUAAAUACUAUCUAUUUUGUCUCAAGAAAUUGUUCGCAUCUACUUGCAACAAUUAACCAUAUUUAUCAGGUUCUUCUUUAAUUUGAAUUUGAUGCUUUAUUUGUUUACUUAGAUUUUUCUACCGUAUAGUAUAUUUUAAAUUACGUGGGAUUCGACUCUUUCAAUUUAAGGUAAGUUUCUUUUAGAAUUACUAUAUUUUUUAAUAUUUAUUUUUGUUAUUUUGGUUACUAUGUUAUAAAUUUUUAUAUUCAUUUUUGUUUACAAAUUAUAUUGUCUCCAUUAUAUAAUGAUUUGAUUGUAUUGAAAAUUUUGAUAGAUUUGUUUAUAUCAGGGUUUAGAAUUUUUGAAAUGAUUAAUUAUUACGCAGACUAAUGCCAUAUUUAGCGAAAUCUAAUGGAUAUGUUGGAAUUUAUUUGCUAAAUAUAUUUUCUGUUGUUUCUAAUUAAACCUACACGUCACUACCUAUAUAAUAAGACAUCUAUAUAAAGCUCUCGGAAAUAGAUGUGGUUUGAUACCUAUCGUGAUGCUUUAGUGUUAAAAAUCAGAAUAUUCAAAAAAAAAAUAAUCUUCAUAUUUUUCAAUAUAUUUUAAAAUUAUUAAAACUUUUAAAGUAAAUAUGUUCUACUCUUUACAAAAUAACUUAUAGAAAUAUAAGAUCUAAAAUUUUGGGUUUAAAUUUUAAAAGAUUAUAAUAUAUCUACCCGUCGCAUUGCGCGGGUCACUACACUAGUAAACUAUAAUAACUAAUAACAAAAGCUGAGGUGGUAUGACCUCUUUUUUAGAAUUUUUUUCUGAUUUUUUUUUUUAUUUUGACAAUUAUUAUAAUAUUUCAAAUUCCACAUAACAGUCUACAUUUAAUACUAGCCGUUUCUAUUGGCAAUUAAUUUUUUAAAUUAGAAAACGGAUCCUCAUAAUUGCAAUUGAUAGAUUAUUAUAAACUAUGAUAACUAGUUGUCAAAUUAUACCAAAUAUAGUCCAUCUCUCUUUUUCAAAAUAGGCUCCGUAGUUGUUGUCAUUUAAGAAAGUCUUUUCAAGUUAUCAUAUUUUUUUCUCAUUACAUUUCACAAAUUAAUUUAUUAUAAGCCUUUUCAAGUUACCAUAUUUUUUCUCAAUAUAUUUCACAAAUUAAUUUAUUAUUUGUUACUAUUUAAUGACCCACCAUCUUUCUUUCUAAAACUGCAUCUUAUUUAGUAACUAUCACGGAACAUUAUUUCUAUUAUUUAUAUUUUUAAAAUUUCAUUCAUUCUUAAAAUUACUUCAAGUUAUAUAUACAGUAACUCCUAAAUAAUUUGAACCUAUAAUUUUGCUCUCGCAGGCGGCGGAGGCGGACGCAGGAUGGGAGGUUUGGUUAAACAGGUUUUGGGCUUUGCUCACCAUUAUCACCUCAACUCUCAUCUAUUGUUUAUUAUCCACAAAACCAUAUUUAGAUUCUCAAGGUAAGAUUAUUUUAAAAUAAAAAUUAUUAAGUUUUUUUUAUUUUUUUUUUGAAUUGGCUAAAGUGUCUUUUUUUUUUUCUCUAUUUUGUUUUAUUUUUGUAAUAUAAUAGGAGAGAAAAAUACAAAUACAAUAUUUAGGAGAAUGAUGAGCUCAAUAAAAAACAAUGUACACGAUUGCAACAACUUUAAAUACAAUAUCGUCGAUGUCGUCGCCAGCACCAUCAACAUCCCCCAUUAGAUGAAAUGAUAUUAUGAGAUAAUAGGAAACUUACAGAGUUUUUUUUUUUCUCGCUUUUAUUUUCUCUUUUUUUUAGAGGCAAUAGAGAAAUAAGUUUAUAAAUGAACGUUGUUGUAUGAUUUUAUUCAAACUAGGAUUUAUAGAAUAGAAAAGGUUGAUUAUUGCUUCUAUAUACAUUUGUGAGGAGCGUGCCUUUUUGUUUUUUUUUUUUUGUUUUUCCCUACUUCUCUUUGCUUUUUUUCUUUUUUUAAUUUAUUUUUGUUUCACUUCUUGGCUAAAUUCUUAUAAGUUUAUAAGUUACUUUUUUUUAUUUGCUUUAUUGUUGGGUAAAAGUUCAUGAGUUUCAUUAAAAGGUAGGUUUAAAAUUUAGACUAUCCACUUCAUUUUAUUUUUGAAAAAAAAACUCUUUAUGAUAGUUUUAAUGUUAUUUAUUUUCUCUUCCUCUCAAAGUUUGUAAUGGAAGAAAAUAGAAAAAAAAAGGAGACUGAUAUUUCUGGAUUUUUUUCCCCUUUGAAUUGAAUAAUACAGCAACCCUAUUUAUGAAGGAAUAGACAAUUUUUUUUUUUAUCUUUCUAAAUGUUGGCCUUUAGUACAAUUUUGAGAUAGAUAUUGCAACCAUAAAAAUACAGUAGCACCCUCAAUUCAAAAAGAUAACAAUCAAUCUUUUUUUUUAUUUUAUUACGUUAUCAUGUACAUUUUAAAAUUUUAAUUUUUCCUAUUAUUUUUUACCUCAAAAAAAAUUUAAAAUUUUAUUUCUAUUAUCUACCCGCCGCAUCGUGCGGGUGUCCCCACUAGUAUAUAUUAAAGUGUGAAUUAAAGUGACACUUGAGCAAGUCCAAACUUGGAUCACAAACUAACCUUUGAUUCAUUGUACCCAACUAAAAAAAUAAUAUACAUAUAGAUUAACUUCUAGCUCCUUUUAGUUUUUCUCUUUCCUUGUGUUAUGUACUCUCUCUCUCUCUCUCUCUUCAAUCUUCUUCUUUUUUUCUUUUUUUUUUUUUAAGGUGGGGGGAAACAAUCUAGCUUUAUGAUUUCUCUACCUAGAUCAUGUGGAGUGAUGCAUUAUCCCUACUUUUAACUUUGUAUAUGGAUAAUGAGGAGAGAAAAUUGAUUAAUUGCUUUCCUUUUGACCUAGCAACCAUAUUCAUAGCAAUUUUUGGCUAGGUCCCAAAGAAAUUGGUAGUUAGGAAAUGAAUUAAAGAUAUAUUAGGUACAUUUAAGUGAUUUUUUUUACGAGGGCGCGAAUACCGAUCAUGUUCCUAAUCCCACGUAUAAGUUUUUUUAAUUAGUUAGGUUAAUUAAAUGAUUAAAAUUAUCCAUCCAUGUGCUUUCAUUUUGAGCCCGAAUCAAUGAUAUGUCCCAUAAGCCGUAAGUCAUCACUUUUUUUAAAGCCAGUGAGUUCUUUUCAAUCUUUUUAAGUUCAUGAAGGAUGCUAUCCAGUAAAUCAAUCUGAUAGGAAGCAACUCAAGACUAGUCUUAGUGUAUCUGCUCGCAUGAAUUUUAGAAAUUAAUCAGAUGACUCAUACCACGUACAUCGCAUGAAAAGCUGUAUAAGUCGUAAGAGAGGUAAUAGGACAGAAAAUAGCGAGAUUUAUGCCAUUAGAUGGUAUUUCGAUCAAGCGGCUUACAACCAACUUAGAUACCAUAUUGUUAUUGAACAUGUAUGAUUGAAAAUGAUUUAGAGAUAAUCUUAAAAGAGGAAAAGGACAUGAUUAAAAAUUCCAUGUUUUAUAAUGAUUUGGGAGGAGCAUGAGAGCCUGAAUGAGUCAAAAGACCAAAUUGGGAAGCAUGUGAGGGGAAACUUUGUUGCCUUUAUUUUGUAUAGAAAAACAAUGAGUAGGCACCACAAGCUUUUGAUCCCUUGUGAUGCAAUUUUAUUUAAAAAGUCCCCUCAAUCUAAUCAUUAAUAAUCUAUCCAUACCUGCUAGAGAGCUUCUCACACUAUCAAUCUUUGUUGAAACCAAAAAAUUAAAGAGCACCAUAAGAACACGAACGUAAAUCACGCUAACAGCAAACACAGAGAAACUACAUAAAUCACUCCGUAGAGAAGCAUCAAGGAUUAUAUGAUUUAGCUGAACAUAAGAAGUUUUACUACGGAAAUGGUAAAAAUUCGGGAGGAAAAUGUGAAACCAAGAUCAAAAGCAAUUUCUCUAUAAAGAUUCCUUGUUGGAACUUGGAACAUAAUAGCGAGGACAAGCAAAACACUCUGAAACUCUUGAGUUACGCAUCCGAAGUCUCAAAUUCGAGCCAUACUAGAAAUUAACUAUACACGGUCCUCUAUAUAUACAUUGCUUGAACCGAAAAUACUUUUCGACAUUACCGAUUCGGGCCCUUAAUGGGUGGGGGGGCCCAAAAGAAAAAGAUUUUGACCAGUCAACGGCCCAAUACGCAAAGCCCAAGAGCCUAGAUUUGGGCCCUCAUGAGGCUUUGGAAGCCCAAAACUUACUCCAAGUCCAGUAGGAGAAAUCCUUUUUAGAUUUUCGUGCUCAGUUAAUUAAGGCUUCGUUGUUUGGGAUGGAAACUAUUCUAUUUGUUUUUGUACGUUAUAUUAUAUUGUGCAUAUUGCAAUGAGUUGGUUAAGAUAUAUUCUCAGCGGUCCCACCAAAAAUAAAGAAGCGUAUUUUUAUAUGCUUUCGCUUCAGUGCUAUAGCUCUAGGGGGCCCUCAAUACCAAAGGGGCACUAAAAUUCAAACAAAGCUAUUUUUUCCUAAUUGUAAUUUGACACGCUAACUUAAACUUGAUGCAACAAAAAUACCUACCAUUUUUUGCAAUGUGACGCACAAAGCUUGAUUCGGUGGGAGAAAAAAAAAAAAAAAAAAACCUUCCUGGAUUUUGUUUAAUACCACUAGGCUUGAUUUGAUUUAAACAAAUAAACUUUGGCCCACAUUAGGUAGCAACAUUGCAUAAUUAGUGACUUGCUUUUUUUCGCCAAAUCAAGAAUAGUAAAACAAAUUGACAUAAGAAACAAGAGGGUCAUUUUGAACCAAAUUGAAAUUAGUGGAUCGAAUUGCAUUGUAGAAGCUUAGCUGAUGCACUGGACAUACAUAAAAGAGAUAAAAACUCAACAAGAAAAAUGAGAAGCAGCAAAAUAAAACACCGAAAAUGGAGAACUUUAUACACAUUUCAGUAGCAAUUAGGUGAAAUAUUUUCUUAAAAGACAUAGUGAGAUAAGAUACAACAUGGCCUGAUACAGUAAUAAAUGUUUCAGUGAACAUUUUUAACACACUCCACCACAAUUAGGAUUCUCAUGGACUCCCAGUAACAGGCAUUGGAUUGAUCAACCAUUCAAAUGGUUUGGAGCCUUCUCAACAUCACCAGUUUGCCCCUCACCAUGAAACCAGACCAAUUCCAAACUGACUGACUUAAAAAUGCCUGCGACUGCGAGUCUGAGACUUUACACACACCCAUUUCCGACCCCCCAGCAUCAGCGAGCUAAACAGAGUUAUUUCGAAGAAAAGCGUUUUUGGCUUAAGCAGGUGUUACAUCAGCACAACGCGAUUGCGUGCUCAGCUGUGGCAGAAGGCAUCAGCAUGUACAAGCUCGACGGUUCGGGUAUUUCGGCAGCAGAAGACUGCAGUUCCCUCUUUGACAGAAGCUCCAGAAAUUCCGGAGGGUUAGAAGUCGGAAGCUGAUCUUUCCUCGAGAGAAGCUCUUUGAAUGAGUCGAGAGCUUGUCGCAUCCAGUCAUACCGGCACAGGUCAUAGGCUUCGGCUGCAGGGACCUAUUGAUAUGGAGGAGAAACGUUAGAAGGGCUUCAAUGCUUUUUUUGGUCUGGCUUUUGGAACAACUUUUCUACUCCAAAAGCAAAAGCCUAGUAGAAGCUUCAAUCUGAAGUUUUUGCUUUUUUUUUUUUUCACUACAAAUGCUUUACAUGAGGUUAUUAACCAGAAAAACUAUAGUGCUACUUUUACCAGCUCUAUUCAAAAAGCGCUACUGUAUAAACCCCAGACGAGCCAAACAGACAGUAACUUGGGGUUUCUCACUUUUUUGCCAUGAGAGGAAAGGCACAUAUCAGGUUACAAUAUAAGAUGAAAAUUUAUGAAAUACCGACCCAUUGUCGUCCGUGGUUCGCCUGCUCAGGCCAAUACUCGAGCUCCUCCGUAACUUCUAGCGCAAAUAUAUAACCUUUACAAGCUCCAUCGGAGCUGCAGCUGUUUUGCCUACUCUUGCUUCUGAAUAUCCAUUCUCCUAAUGGAUUUUCCUAAAGCCAACAAAAAUAACAAAAAAUUUAGGACAUUAUUAUAUUGAUAAUUUAACUUAAUUUGAUUAAAAUUUUACUAUACAAUGGACGGUAAUAUCUGAUAACUUACGACAGAAGGCGGUAAUUAUUACUAUGUAAUCACCAAAAGUUUCAUGACAAGUCCUCUUUUUGUAUUUUCUUUUUCUUUUUCUGGUUUCACGUAACUAUCAAUAAUCUUAAAGAAAGUUUCAAAGUUAUAUCAGGAUUUUUUAAAAAAAGGGAUCGACAUCGCUGUGUCACCCUCCUUGACAAAUCAGCAACUAUUAGUAAGAAGAUAGAUAAGUUUACUAUUCUUUGAGACUGAAUAGAGCUUUUCUGGUCCCAUAUAUUGUACUUAAAAAAACAAGAUGAAGCUUCCAGGAAACUUCCUCAUCUUGUAAGAUACCGAUGGUUCUUAAAAAAAAAAGAAAAAGAAAAAGAAAAACAACAACUGCAGCGCCGAAAACUAAGGAAAAAAAUAAAGGCAUUACAACAACCAACAAGAACAUCAUCAUCACCCAACAAAUACAGGUAGCUCAGGAAGCAUAUAACAUGAAAAUUAGUUGGGUGAGUCAGCAUAUCAAUGACAAAGAGGUUCUUUGACUAAGAGGUUAAAGAAAUAAUUUCCGAGGAUAAGCCUCGUUUGAUUUGGAAUACGACAUGUCAAAAUAGGCUAAGAGAGACAUCACUACAAAUUAUUAUUAUGUGUUAAAGCAAAAUUUCGUAGUUAGAAUGGCUACUUUGAGUUUGAUUAAGUACUUUAUUUGGAUGUUAAUCCACUUGUGGACAAAGUCAACCUCUCGUUUUUCUUCCGGAAACUGCUUCGAGAAUCUAGAUAGUAGGUUGUAUUAUUAUUGGAAAGAGAGAAAGAUCACCUCACUUGAUAAAUACUACACUUUAGCCUAAUUAAAGUGUUUUAAAAGCUUAAGAGAGAAUAUUAAAACUCAUGGCCGCAUAAUUCAAAAUGUCGUUUUAAGCCUAGAGAUGAUGCUUGUAUUAUUGAAGUGACAAACGAGAGAUAAGUUUUGAGCUCUUGUAUCUUGAUUAGCCCUUGCUUUAAUCAUCCAUAGUUUUCGAAAUGUCGGACAAAGCUUGAAUGAAUGAUUAUUAACAUAAUUCCAAAAGGAAAAAAAAAAAAAAGAACAUUUGUUCACCUACCAAAAGCUUCUCUCAGUAGCUAUGGUAUGAAUAGUAUGAAAAUGAAUUGCGAUACAAAUAUAUGAGUAUCCCAAUUAAGCAAAUGCCCUAAUUUUCUCGCCAUCUACUCCUUAUCAAGUUACCAAAUGAACGAGUAAAUUGAUCACAACCAAAAUCCAAGGGAAAGAGAAAACUGUAUUUAUUAACCUAUAAACAAUCCUCUCUCAGCUGCUAAAUUAUCAAAUCUAAAUUAUCAAAUCGAAACUGCCUUAUCCAAAUGAAAAAUAUUUCUAAUGUAGAACGAACGCAUAAUUCAAUCAGGAAAAUAUACUCUUAACUAUGUAGAGUUCACAUCAUCAUGACCAAAAUACAAAAACAAGAACCCAUUUUCUCACCCAUCAAAAAUCAUUUCUCAGUUUCCACGGUUUCAAAUUAAAGUCAUAUAUCUAAAUAAAACAAAAUACAUCUUCCAAGAAAGAAAAAGAAGAAGAAAAGAAAAGAGUACAUACAUUGAUAUUACCCCUAACUCCUGCUUCCUCCAAAGCCUCGCGGCAAGCUGCUUCGUGGACAGUCUCAUCAUCCUCCCACCCACCCUGGCAAAAAUAGGCCCACCAAUUUUAGAACGCCCUUUUUAUACGAAAUGAAUCAAUUAUAGAACACAAACUAUAGAAGAGAAGGUGACAAGUUGUGUUCUUCUUACUUUCGGGAAGACGAGAUCACUCCUAUUCGGCGUAGAGAUCAUUAGCACUUCCAACUUCUCAACCAAAUUGCAACAGGGACUCUCCCCUUCUUCCUUGAGUCUAUAAGGAAUACAUCUGCGUGGCCCAAAGGCGACCAAUAUUAAGAAAAUAGCUCCAAAGAUUAUAUCAUAAGGCACAAAAAAAGAAGAGAGAGAGAGAGAGAGAGAGAGAGAGAGAACAAUGGCUUCUUCUACUUCAAUUCCACAAGGGAAAGAACAUGAAAAGUCAAUGUUUUAUACAUCAAUGCAUACGCUAUAUAACUUGAAAAAAGAUGAAAAAAAAGGAAUACUCGUAGCUUCUCUACUCCCAAAAGCAGUCGUUAGUUAAUUAAACUGUUGGUAAACAAAAAUUUUGGAACAUUUUGUUGUCCGUGGCUAGAUAAAAUGAGUUUCUGAGUCCACAAAAGCAAAAGCUUUAAUUUGGAGCUUCUACUUUUGCUACAGUGCAGAGUUGUUAAGGGUACGCAGAUGAGAAAGUGCUUCUUCAAACAGCACUUCUGCAAAAACGAAGAAAUAGAAGAACCUCAACUACACGCGAGGAACAUAAUAUUUCAUCAAACUGACUAUGUUCCAUAACUUUUACUACGUUUACAUUGAAUUGAUUGAAGAACAUUGCUUCACAACCAUUUCAUUCAUAAACCUCCAUAUUGAGGAGUAAACAAACAUCACAAUAACCAAAUUACAAACACAAAUGUUAAUCAAAGUAAUCAAAACAAAAGAAACUAAAUUAGGCAAAAAUAGGGCAAAAGUUAUACCCUGCGACAAGCCGAUAAUUGUUGUCGUAGCGUUGUCGGUGGCGGCCCUUCCGAGCUAACAAUGUCGGCGACAUUACCACUGAGCGAAACCUCCCAAUCAAACACUUAAAUCCCCCCCAAAAAUUUGGGAAAUUUUGGCGAACAAGGGCCAAUAUUACGAGAUUCAAACCCUAGCCAACCGUUUUAUAACCCCAUUUCCUUAUCCUUCACCACAACCUUAUCCACAAACCCUCAGAAAAUUCUCCCCUUUCCCGGGACCCAAAAACAGGGGGCGAAACAGGGGAACCCCACGAAACCCUAAUCUCGAAGCGAACCCUAGCGAAAUUGGAGGGGGGAAAAGGCGAGGGUACGGUGCCCGAAGCGUCCUCGGCUUCGAAUUUAAGGGCUACGAGGUCAACAACCCCUAAACGCGACGGUGCCCGAAGGUAGGGGUUUUUUGACCUACUCCUCUGGUAAUAUUAAAAGAAAAAGGUGUCAUUUUUACACGGCAAGGAGCGUCGACCUCGAGCCCACCAUUGUUGCCAACCUCGAGGCGAUGGCGAAAUGGCGAAGAGGUCGAUGCGAGGACGACGACGACGACGACGACGAUGAAGGCGACGAGGACGAGGACCUUCGAUUGUGAUACGUGUGCGUGUGCGUGUGCGUGUGCGUCGCAACAAGGAGAGCAAAUGCGGAGGUGUGGCUACGGAUCCAUGGCAUAUUAUAUAAUACAAAAUAUUAAAAAAUAAAUAAAUAAAUAAAUAAAUAAAUAAAUAAAAGAGAGAGAGAGAGGGGGUGAAUAGAGACGAGGAGAAACUUCGAAUUUAAUUAUUUUAUUUUUUUAAUUAAAUUUAAUGUAACAACACAUUAACGACAAAGCGAACAGCACGCUAUCUCUUUUUUUUUUAAUAAAAAACUCUUAACACAUGCGUGCGUUUAUCGCACCUAGCACAGUUAGAAUGUUAGAUAAAGAUGAGUGAUUAUUUUAUAAGAAAAACUUCAAAUACACCCCAUGUGGUUUCACAGUUUCUCAUUUUAGUAUCAUGUGGUUUCGUAUUUUCUCACUUUAGUAUCCUGUGGAACCACAGGGUACCAACUUGACACACUUUAAAUCAUAAAGUAUUAAAGCGAAAAAGUACAAAACCACAGGGAGGUAUUUGAAGUUUUUCUUAUUUUAUGUUUUUAGCUAGGUUUAUAUUUAAAUUCUCGAAGUAUGCGACUAUUACUGAUUGUACGUAGAACAGUUGGCUAAGAAUUUGAUAGUUGAAAUUCCAAGCUUGUUUUAAUAUAACAAAAUAUUAACUGCGAAGCGAAUAGCAUGCUGUCUUUUGUUUUUUUUUUUUAAAGAAAACUCUCGAAACAUACGGGUGUCCAUUGUACCUAACGCAGUUAGAUAAAAAUUGAUUAUUGUUUUAUAUUUCUAGCUAGGUUUAUAUUUAAAAUUUUAAAGUGUACGACUAUUACUGAUUGUAUCUAGCGUAGUUGGCAAAUAAUUUAAUAAUUAAUAGUUGAGAUUCCAAAUUUGAUACCUAAUUAUUUCAUACUCUUAGCUGAGUUCGUAUCUAAAAAAUGAACAAUUUGUGUAACAUUCUAUCUCUUUUUUAAAAAAAUAUUUUUUGGAAUAUACGAUUGUGGAAUUGAUCCCAAUUACUUCAUAUUUGUAAUUAAGUUUACAUAUAAAAAAUAAAAAAAUAAAUUUAUUUUUGAAGCAUAUGACUAUUACUGAUUGUACCUAGUGUAGUUGGCUAAGAAAUUAAUUAUUAGUAGUUGUUUGAUGCCUAAUUAUUUUAUAUUUUUAGUUGAGUUCAUAUCUAAAAAAUGAAUGAUUUGUAUAACAUGCUAUCUUUCUUUUAAAAAUAAUUUUUGGAGUAUACAGUUGCGAAAUUGAUGAUUGGUAUUCGAAAUUUCAACUUCGAAAUUUAAUUGCUUCAUAUUAUUAUUAUUAUUAUUAUUAUUAUUACUAUUGUUAUUAUUUGGUUUUAGCUUAAUCUAAAUGUAAAGUCCAACUCAAUUAUAAAAAAGUUAUUUAUAUAUAAAAUUUCAACUAUUAGAUCAAAAUCAAAUUGAUAAGAUCUCAUAAAUUUAUUUUUUAUACGUAUUCUUUAUAAUUCUUUUAACUUAUUAUUCAUGAGUCAGCUCAUGUUCGGCUUUUUUUAACUUAUUGUUUAUGAGUCAGCUCAUGUUUAGCUUCUUUUAACUUAUUGUUCAUGAGUCAGCUCGUGUUCGGCUCGUUAUUCACGAGCUGAAUUUUUUAGCUCGAUACUUUAACGAGUCAGCUUAUGUUCAACUUGUUUAUGAAACGAGCCGAAUACAAGCCGGCCUCAGCUCGCUCGUGUUUGGCUCUUUGACACCCAUAAUGAUAGAUUCCUCAAAAAAAAGCAUAAAAACUAUUUAAAAAAUCAAAAAAUAUAUAUAUAUAUUUACAAUUUCUAUUUUUGAUCAAAAUUUUGGAAAACAAAAACAUUAUUUUUCUAUAAAAUUUGGGAAAAAAUUGAAAUAUUUCUUUUUUCUAAAAAUUGGUCUGAUGAAAGUUAUUUUUCAAGUCAAAAAACUAUUUUUUAAGAUAUUUUCUAAAAGCCAAACAUAGGUAAGCUAAAUUGUAACAAUUAAUUUCUUUGGAGGUAAAAUUUUGAUGAUAGAGAUUUAACCAAUGGAGUUUAUUUUACUAUUAACGGAUAAAUACAUUAAAUUUAGAUGCUAUAUACUUACUAAAUUUCAUCGCAUACAAUGAAUUUGAUCUAUUUUUAGUAAAAUAGCUAUGAUCGCAUUCACCACUAAGGCAAAAGACGCACUAAUUAUUAAGUAAUUUAUGUUUUUUUUUUUGUGUAUAAUUGAGCCUUCAAAUUUAAUUUGUAUAUGAUUUUUGGAUCAUGAUCAUGGGGUACCGAAUGGACGGCCGAGAUUGAUCCAAGUGGACGUCCACAUAUAUACACCACUUUUUUGGGGCACCAACUUGUAAAAUUUUCUCAUCUUAAAUAUGAUGAUGUUGAAACUAAAGCAAGCAUUAAAUUGUGGGGACGUGAUCACAUCAUUUUCACACAUUUAUUGGCCACAAAAGUGAAUAAAUUUAUAAGUAGUUUUGAGAAUAUAUAUAUAUAUAUAUAUAAAAUUAGUAUUUCAAUUGUGUCAAUAAAUGAAAAUGAAUAGGUAGGAUUCUACAAAAUAUUCAAGAAAGGUAGGUUGUGUUUGUUUUUUGAAUUUCAGAGCUUAAACUUCUGAAAAAAUUAAUCGUCGGCAUUUGUUUUGACACUGAAGUCGUAAUAUCAUUAAUUCAAACUUUCUCGACUUUCAUGGAGUGGAGGACGAAGUCAAAUUUGCGACACUCACGAGUUUCUCACUUUUCAACUUUCUGCUUCUAAACAACUCCUUUGUUUAUGCUUUUUCAACGUGCACUGCUGAGGUUAUUGUCACUAACGGUCCAUUAAUUAUUUAUUAGAUUACUUAAUUUAUUUUUACUAUUUAAUUACUAGUGAUCAAUUUGAUCUUUUUAUUGUAUUUUUUUUGGAUCAAUAGUGGAGAUAGUCACACGUAAUCGAUGACAUAAUGUGGUCAUAUUAUUAAGAGGAGUUAAUGUUACCUCUACAUUUAUAUGUACGGUGUAAAUUUUAUACCCUAAUUUAAAGAUUAAUACUUACGAAUUAUUAUCAAAUUUUAGAUUGGUUUCGCGUAAAUCUUACACCAUUCUAACAGAGUGUACAUGUUUCAUUUUUCUACAAAAGCUUGUGGUGAUAUAUAAAUAGUGGAUCUUAAUUCUAGUGUAGUAAUUGUGUAUCUUCUCUCUCAUUUUUCUCUUUUCAUCCUUUUUUUUUUUUUCCUCUCUUAUGUCUCUUUAAUUUCAUAUUUUAAGCUUCAGUUCCAUCAUUUUCUUCUUUUUUUUUUUGGCUAAAUUACAGAAAACUCUUUGUCAAAACCUGAUUUUUCACUUCCCUCCUGUCAUUUAAAAAUCUACACUUUGCCUCCUUAUAAAGUAAAAAAUAUUCACUUCAUCCUCUACCGUUAGUGAUCCGUUAGGUUUCGGUUAUAAGAUAUUUUUUAUGCCAAAAAUAUCCUCCGCCUUCUCUACUGCUGCUUCGCCCUUCUCCGCCUUGCCGCCUCGCCCUUAUCCACUGCCUCGCCUUCACCCACAUCUCCGUUCGAGCCUACAAACACCCCCUCGCUCUCCUCUGCCACCUCGCCUUCGCUCUCGUUGCCCUUGCCCACCUCUUCACCCACGCUCAUCUCAAUUUUCUCCCUAUUGUCACCGAAAUGGAGGAGCGACGAGGGUACAGGAGGAGAAGGGGAGCAGGUGGAGAAGAAAAUAGAGUGGAACCGCAGCUGAUUGAGGCACGAACCGCGAUCGAUCGAGACGGCGAAUGAGCAAGAUGAGGAAAGAGAUAAAAAUGAUGAGGGACAAAAUGGUCAUUUUAUCAUUACAGUUAACACCGUAUCUUCCUGUGAAUAUUUUUUAUUUUACAAUGGGGCAAAGUGUAGGUUUUUAAAUGACAGAGGAGGAAAACGAAAAAUCGGUUUUGACCGAAAGAUUUUAUAUAAUUUAGCCUUUUUUUUUUUUUCCUCUCCUAGCAUAGCACCUAGAUAUUCCUCUCCUAGCAUAGCACCUAGAUAAGGUUGGUGUCUUUAAAUUCUUUUCUUUGAGAAAAGAUAAGGUGGGAGUUAGUAUUGAAAUAGGGUAGUGAAACAAGUAUGAUUAUUCCUCUCUCUCUCUCUCUCUCUCUCUCUCUCUCUCUCUCUCUAAGUUAUUGCCUACAUUCACUGAAUUCCCCCCAUUUUACCAACCACACUCAAUAUGCCCUUCAUUCUAUCUCAUAUUUUUGAUCUAGCUGUUUCUGUGAAACAACCGUUGUGCUCUAAAAAUUUAAGCUGUUAAAAAACGAUGUUUAAACAUUUUUAUAUUUAACACUCCUCUCACGUCUGGGUUCGAGACUUUUUAGUCGGCCCAUGACGUGGGCUUAAAUUAAAUGGGAGGAAAUUAAUAUGCUAAGAGCCUGGCGUGACUCGAACUCAAGACUUCCUGUUUUGAUACCAUGUGAAAUAAUCGUUGUACUCUAAUAGCUUAAGCUUUUAGAGUACAACGGUUGUUUCACAGUUUCAACUUUUAAAUAAGAUUAAAAGAAAAAAAAACUCUAAACUAAUCUAAAAUAUACAUACGCUACGAUGAAAGGCUGAUAAAACAUGCACGGUGUGUGAGAUCAUGUGCGCGAAUGCACCAAAUCUAGCUAGGCAAUAGUUACACUCUGCGUAAGCGCGUUUCUCUAUCUAUCAGUUUAAACUUUUUGUCUUUUGUUCGAGCGGCCGUUUAGCAAUUUCUCCUCACUACAUACAACACGAGAGAGAGUUUCUCCAUCUCUAUAAGAGCUUAAAUUUUUCUUUAAUUCGAGCAACUUAACAAUUUCAUCUUAUCUGUACAUAAUGUGAGUUUAGAGCAUUUCUCCACCUACCCGCUUAAACUUUUACGAAAACUCAAACUAUUAAAUCUAAAUAUUUACUUUCUGAUAACUUAAGUUCUUCGAGAACAAUAGUUGUUUUACAUUUUCACGUUUAAUUUCAGUCCGCAUGUUACACAUUUCUAAUAAAGUUAUAAUAGCUUAAACUUUUAAAAGAAAAAAAAGAGAUUAUUUUAUAUAUUUCAUGUAAUUUAACACGAACGAGUUCACAAUCUCUCUCUCUCUCUCUCCCUCUCUCUCUCUCUCUCUCUCUCUCUCUCUCUCUCCGAAGAUAAUGCAUGAAGCAAAAAUGAAUACAAAGUUCCCAACUACUAAAUUAAAUAUGAGUUAUAUAAGCCCUAGCCCUCGUUUGCUGAACACGUCAACUGAAUAAAUCUAAGGCCAUGCAUGCACCCUCGUGAAAUAAAUAGCAGCUUUGUUUGACGUACGUGGGAAAGGGGAGAAAAAUUAAAAUAUAGGAUUAAUUGCAUACAGGUCCUUACAAAUAUAUUAAAUUAUAAAUAUAUUUCUAUAAAAAUUUUAAUAUUUUUAAAUAUGUUCCUGCCAUUAGCUAGAAUCCGUUAAAAAAAUAUAGUUAACCAUAGAUUAAAUAUUUAAUCCUAAUUAGUUUAUGAGAUAACUUGAUAUUUUUACCUAUUUUAUAUUUUACUGUUGUGGCUUUUAAAGUGACAUAUAUAUUUGUGAUGGCAAAAUUGAUAUUUUACUUAUUUACUGUUAAAAUAUAAACAAUUCUUUAACGGUAAUAAAUCAGAACGACAUAUUUGAAAAUAUUAGAACUUUUGUACAGAGAACAUAUAAAAAUUAAAGAUUGUAGAAAUAUAUUUAUAUAUAAUUUAUUAUAUUUGUAGGAACCUGUAUGCAUUUAACCCUAAAAUAUAUAUUUAUGUGGACAUUAAUAAGCCUUUGUAGGUGUAGCCUCCUAGUCAUUUCCAUCCACAUGCAUGUAAUAAAAUAGGCCAAAACUAAAGAAUUAAUUAACUAGAUAACAACCCCUCAACUAGCUUUGAUUUGUCCCUAUAUAUUGGAAUUAAAUAUAUAGGCUCCUCAAGUAAUCUGAUUUUUCUUUCUUUUUCUUUUUUUGACUAAUAUGUAACCCUUUAUUAACUUAUUCAUUUUUAAUUAGGUAAAAAUAUACAGAACUUAAUAGGCCACUUUAAGUCGAUUGUCUAAUCUUUUAAAAUUUUAAUUUUAAUUCAAUCUUUCAAUUUGUUCGAUUUGAAUUACUUUGACCCUUAAUGAGGUAUACUAAUUAUAUAAAUCUGUAAAGAUAAAUAAUACAUUCAAAUUUUAAAGGUAAAGUGUCACUAACUGACUCUAAUCAAUUGUAAAUUAGAAGAUUAAAAAGUAAAGUCAAAUAUUGAAAAUUUGAAUAGUCAAUAAAUUAAAAUAGUUCGGAAUUCAAAUAAAUUUUGUACAGUUUUACCUUAAAAUUAUUAUAUAAUUUGAUAGAAUCAUUAAUAAAUUUUACAAAAUUUCAAAAUAACCUACAUUUGAGGGAUCUCCACAGAUUUUUACCAGUAAAAAUUGUCCUUUUCCAUAUAUAUAUAUAUAUAUAUAGUACGUCUGGUAUGCUUAUGGAAGCACGGAGCGCUCCGUGCUUCCAAGUUGUUUUCGAUGUUCGGACUUUCGAAUCGACGAUUGGCUCUGUUAGAGUUGAUCUAGAGUAUUUGAAAUACCUAAAAAAUAAAUUUUGUGAUUUUUCGAUAUUAUUUGCCUAGUGAUCGAAGGGGCUCAAAAUCAAUAAUUUUAAUGGCCGUGGUGAGCCGGUUGCAAUUUUAACAGUGUAGAAAUAUUCAAAUCACAUGAAAUUUUGAUAGAAAUUUUUUUAUACCAUAUAAAACAAGAUCAAUAAUUUUGAUCUAAAAUUUUAAUGUCAUAUCAUCAUAUUUUGUAAGAUUUUUAUUUUUAGCCGUUGAUUUUGAGCCACUUCAAUCACUAGGCAAAUGAUAUCGAAAUAUCGCAAAAUUUAUUUUCUAGAUACUUCAAAUAUUCUAGAUCAAGUCUAACGGAGCCGAUCGUCGAUUCGAAAGUCCGAACAUCGAAAACAAAGUAGAAACACGGAGCCCUUCGGGCUUCCAUAAGCAUCCUAGCCGCGCUCUAUAUAUAUAUAUAUAUAUAUAUAUAUAUAUAUAUAUAUGAUAUAUAUAUAAUAUAUAUAAUAUAUAUAUAUAUAUAUAUAUUAUAUCAUAGAGUGCCAGGUUACUAUGCUAUCGGAAGCACGCGAGCCUUUCGUGCCUUCCGCUCGUUUUCAUGUUGCGACUUUCGCAUGCGUUCGAUCGGCUCCGUUAAAACUUGAUCUAGAGUAUUUUGAAGUACCUAGAAACAUAAAUUUUAUGAUUUUACGAUAUCAUUUGCUUAACGUGACCACGAAGGGGCUCAAAUCACGGUGAAAAUAAAAAUCUUACAAAAUGUAAUUAUAAUAUGAAUUAAAAUUUUAAAUCAAAGAUAUUGACUUGUUUUUAUAGUGAUAAGAAUUUUCUAUCAAAAAAUUGUCACGUGAUUGGAUAUUUCUACACGGUUAAACUUUGCAAACGGCUCACUACGUGGCCAUUAAAAUUUCCGUUGAUUUUGAGCUCAUUCGAUCACUAGCAAGCAAUGAUAUCGAAAAAUAAUAAAAUUUAUUUUCUAGGUACUUCCAAAUACUCUAGAUCAAGUUUAAACGAGCCGAUCGACGAUUCGAAAGUUCGCUACAUCGAAAACGAGCUGUGAAGCACUGAAGGCUCUGCUCCGAUAGCUAGUAGCCAUCCACAUCAUUAUAUAUAUAUAUAUAUAUAUAUAUAUAUAUAUAUAUAUAUAUAUAUAUAAUUUGUAUGGUCUUUUUCAAUGUGAACUUUAUGCAGUGAUUGGUCUAUUCACGAAAACGACUUAAUUGAUUUGGUGCAUUGCCCAAUCCAUAUAAAUACAAAUAUAUAUAUUCACACCAAAGUACAAAUUAAUUACUUUUUUGAAUAAAAAUCAACAUAUGAAACUCACUGUCCACGUAAUGAAUUAGCUCAUUUUCCUUGGGGUUAUAAUUAAUUAUUACGACUUUUCUCACACCUAUAAAUAAUUAUUAAUAAUGUCCCCAACAAAAAUAUAUAGAUUUAAUUAGGUGUGAAUAAUUUUUAUUGGUGUCCAUGUAACAUAUGAUUUGUAGAGUGUAUUGUUGUUUGAUGAUAUGGAAUAAGGCGACCUUUUAAUGAUCAAUGUUAAUAGAUAAUUUUGGUUAAAACUUUGGCGGGGAAUUUCUAAUUUGCUGUCACAUGUUAAUUAAUAUUAUGUCCCUCCAAGAAUUUAGCGGGUGUUUUUUAAUACUAAAUCUAAAAUAAAUAAAUAAAUAAAUUCUAGAGGAAAGGUUUAUAAUUCUUGAAUAGUACAAAACUGACCCAUGACUGCAGAUCAGGGCUCUCAGCACGAAGGUUUAUCGGACAAUUCCAAUAAAAUUUUUGCUUUAUAUAUAAGAAAAAUAUAUAAAUCAUAUUACGAAGAAUUUGCCUCUAUAAUAAUUGUUCCUACUUUUAGCCGUGAUAUGAACUUCUACAUAAGUAUUGUUCAAGUAAAGCUUUUCGGAAAAUGAUAACAAUAUUUAUUUACCAAUGUGAAGAAUCUACUUUUGAGAGUUGAUAAGAAUAAAAACCUAAUAUUGUUUCUUUUUUUUUUUUCUAUUCGAGAAUCGGUCCUUUAUCUCUGUAUUGACGUUCAGAAUUUUUUCACAGAUGAGUGAUGCCAAAUUAAAAGAUUUAAGCAUUUUGGAAAGAACUUUCAUUUGGGAUUACGUGUACUGAGAAAAUAAUACACUUAUCGCAAUGAGUCGCCUAAUAUAUAUAUAAUUUCUAUGUCCUAUUUUAGAAAAUGAAACAACAAUUAAUGUACCUUUGUAUAUUUUUGUCUCAACUCUUUUUCUGAGCCUAACUUUUCAUCUAUAUCUUCUAUUACUACAAACAAGAACACAAACAUAGAAGAAAAGAAUUGUGCAUUUGAAAGAUACAACCCAUCACAGAUGUAAAUGUUAAAUUUUAAAAAUAUAUAAUUGUUGUCACCUAGUGCAUAUGGUUCUUAUAUAUGUUCUCAAUCAUCUAAUCCUCAAUCAUUGUGCUAAAGUGGGUUAGUGGGAUUUUCAUUUUGUUUUGUUUUUGUUUUUAUCUUCUUUAUUCCUGCACAACACAACAUGUGGACAAUAGAAAAACUAGUAGGUGAUUGUGUAGAAACACAAAGUCCUCAUAUAUUUAUCAACAAGAAGAGAGGGACAAAGAAACACACAUCAUGUGUGGUGGUGGUGUCCUUUUUUUAACUCUUUCUCUUGGUAUAUAUACUCUUAUCAUGUGAUUUGAGGGGAACCCUAUUCCUUUUAUUUUGUUUUUUAAUUUAAUUAAUGGUAGAGCGUUUACUUGGGUCAAUGACUUUGUCAUUUUGUAGUAAUAUACAUAUAUAUAUAUAUAUAUAUAUAUNNNNNNNNNNNNNNNNNNNNNNNNNCUAUAUAUAUAUAUAUAGAGAGAGAGAGAGAGAGAGAGAGAGAGAGAGCCCGUCUUUGGAUACUAUCGAUAACACCAAGAAUCUGAUGCUAUCAAAUUUUUCACCGUUAAAUUUAAUUUUUUAAUUAUUUUUAUCCGUUAGAUUAUACUAUUCAACCAAAUCGACAAUCCACAUCAUUAAAUAUGAUUUAGAGUAUUUGAAAUUUGUAGAAAAUAAAUUUUGUAAUUUUUCAAAAUCAUUAUAAAAUCCAUCAAACGUGUAUAAAAUAAAUGGUCAAAAUCGAAUGACGUUCUAAAAUUGGGUGAUUGGAUCUCUUAAUUUAAGAUCGGAGUUAUUAAUCUUUAUCUAGAUAGUAAAUAAAAUUUUCUAUCAAAAAAUCAACCGAUUCUGAUUUCUUUACACCUUUAAACAAACAAGUAUUCCAUACCGGCCGUUAAAAAUUAUCAAUUUUGAAAUCUUCUGAUCGUAUCAUAAAUGAUUUUAAAAAAUAUAAAAUUUAAUGUCUAAAAAUUUUAAAUACUCUAGAUAAUAUUUAACAGUAUACAUCAUCGAUUUGAAAACUCUAUCAUCGAAAACAACUUAUGAGUACGAAAGCGAUCGAACUCAUAAGAAUAUAGUAGUCUCUCUCUCUCUCUCUCUCUCUCUCUCUCUAUAUAUAUAUAUAUAUAGAGUUCGAAAACUCAGCUUGGUACUAUUGAUAGUAUAGUAGCAUAAUUCUAUACAUAGAAUUAGGCUGGAAUACUAUUAAUAGCACCAAGCUAUUUGUGUUAUUAGUUUUUUAAUCCUUGGAUUAAAAAAUGUGUUGUUAGGAUGAUAUGGGCCCUCUAGUGAGUGGUUGGUUGAAUAGUAUAAUCUAAGGGAUAAAAAUAAUUAAAGGGUUAAAUCUAACGGUGGAAAACUCGAUAGCUUAGUGCUAUCGAUAGUAUCCCAGCCGGACCCUCUCUCUCUAUAUAUGUAUAUAUAUAUAUAUAUAUAUAUAUAUAUAUAUAUAUAUAUGCAAAAUUUUAUAUAUUGUUUUUUGUUUUGGAUUUUCCUGAGUUGGCCCACGAAAAUAUUUUUUUUAUUCACCACUAGAUAAUGUGGUUAGAUGGUAUUCUAAUCUAAUGAGUGCAUGUAUAAUACCUACAGACAUAUUAGGUGAUUUUAUGUUGAGGAGCAUACUAGGUUCGCAAUUGCUUUGAGAGCUGUGCACUAAAAAAAAUUACAAGUGGGGAAAUAAAUAUGUAAGUUGCAUGCUUUUACUGUCGUGUUUUUUAAUUUUUUACUUCCCACAAACAAAAACUCCCAAUAAAUCGUAAUAAGAGCAUAGAAAGAACAACACAUCAGAGAGGCUCAAACACGAGGCUCAAAAACUCCAUAUCUGAUGACGCUUUCUCAAACAACGCUUUUUCAGAAGCUCCGGCGGAGACUAAAGAGGCUCUAAAUUGAAAUAAGGGAACGCGACAAGAUAAAUUAACUACAAAGAGCCCGUAAAACAAGUCAAAAAUGCCAAAAUCAAACAAAAAAUGUUAUGUAGAUCAGGCUACGAGAUUUCAAUAGUCCCACAACGAACAAUGUAAAAGAAUAUAACAAUGUAGAAGAAUAGAAGUCUUAUAUUAGCUAGUAUGAUACUAGUAGGGCUCCCGUAACUUACGCUGUAGAACGCAGCGGAAGUAUUCGUUCGUAUCUUUUUGCGGAAGCGAUUCGUGCUAGAACGCGAUCAGCCCGGAUCGUAGAGGUUGGUUCACGUGUCCUUAGAUCGUCCUUGAAAAUCUUCUUGCGCUCCGAACUCGCGGUGGAUCGAACUACAAACGAGCACGAUCGCAAAUCUACCGUUCAAGUCCCUCUAGAAUAAUAGGUUAAUGGAAGAUGUGGUUUCUCUCUAUUAUUUUCUUAUUCUCUCUCUUUUUUUUGUUCCUUUUUGUACAUCGUUUCAUGUGGGAUCGCCCGUCUAUUUAUAAGGAAUUCCAAAAUCCUAAUAGCGUUAGAAAUAAGGCCAAAUCGGUUAUUAUUUGUUAUCCUAGUAUGAUUACAUUUAUCUCUAAUUAGCUUUCCAAUUUGAAAGCGAGAUUAAUCCUAAUCCAAUUGGAUAACAUAAUAUCCGUCGGAUCGAACCCGCUUAUGGGCGUACCCGAUUCGAUUUAACCGAAUGCCAACAUACGCUGAUAGUUUGGGUUCAGCAGAUUAUUAGUAUUAAUAGACUAAGCUGUUACAUUUGCUAUCAAAACUGGAUUGCCAACAGAAAAUGCGAGAUGAUCUGACAUCACUUUAUAAUCUUCUGACUAUUAUGUGUAACUAAACUUGACAAAGACGAAAGAACCUAACCGAAAGGGUUGGAGCAUUACUAAUUAUAGAUUUAAGCUCCAAUAAAUCGUUAAUACCACUGAGUUGCACUAAUGAGUUGGAUCGUUACGAAGAUAUUAAAUGAAAGUGAAAGAAGCAACCACAUGACACCAAAUUGUACCAAAGUUUGUGUAAUCAAAAGUAUAGGUUGAUUCAGACCAGAUCAGGGUAGUUCAAGACAGAUUAAGCAACAUUUGGUCUGAUUGCUUUUCAUUUAAUGCCUGCAAAAUGUGGAGACCAGAUGAAAUAUAUAGGAAUAAACUAUAGGUUUAUGCUUGCUAUGGUUGAUAAUUCUUAAUAAAGCUAAUUAUAGUAUAAAAUUUGACUAGUUUUAAAAAAUCUUUAAUUCAAACUAGCAUAUAAGUUAUCAUUGUAUUGUGAACUACAAAUAUACUACAAUAGCACCUGUUGAAACAAUUAAUAGACCACCAGGGAUUUAAGCCCAUUUACACACUACCAUUACAAAAUCCGAAAAUUUAUAAUUUACUUAGUGUAGUUUUAUUUUUCUUUUAGCAUAAAAAUAUGCACUUUACUAACCACAAACUAGUAAGGAAUAAUAUCUAAUAUGUCCUCUAAAACUUAAAAAGAUACGUUAUUUAUUCCUGAAUGUCCAAAAUACCAUAGUUGAUUUAAAAAAAAACUCCAAAUGGAUUGGAUUUAGAAGAGUAUUAUGAUAAUUUCAAAAUAAAUUUUAAAAAUUUGAAUAGUAGUGAGGGAUAAAUAAGUAAAAAAUCCCAAAAUAUUAUAUUUUACAAACCAUGGAGUGUUAAUAUAUAGUACUAACCAACUGAUGAAUUAUUCUUUACCACUCCAUAAAAGAAGAAUAAAAAUAAAAAGCAGUGGUCUAGUUACAAGAUAUAGCACUUUGUUUUUCUAUUUUUAUGGCAACAUAAACAAAUACAUGUACUAAUUCCUUCACCUUAACAAGAACACUCUGUGUUCAAAAAUUUCACCUAAUUGGGCACGUCUAGCAUAUUUUUUCACAGUAGCAGGAUCAGAAUAACUUACUCCAUUAAGUUCGCCACCAUAGAACUCAACAGUAACACCUACUUGGUCAACACUAUACUUUGAUUCUGCCCUUCUAAAAGGAACAUCAGCUCUCACAAUUCCGUCUUCAUCUACCAAAACUACCGGAAAUGUUUCAAAAAAAGUAGGCAUACGACGUACAAAAAGCUCGCGCCCUUCUUUAUCUCACAUACAUAGCAAGCACAAAAAACUAAAAGGGGUAAUACCUAAUAUAUCCUUAAAAACUUCUAAAAUAUUUUAUAUAUUCCUUUUUUUUUUGUUUCAAAUAUAUCUUUCAUAUAAUCUCUCAAAAUAUANUACCCCUCAAUACGUUUGAAGAUAUCCGAUUUAUCUCUACUUUUUUUUUUCUUUCUAAAAUAUCCCUCAUAUGUUCUACCGUUAUUGCAAAAUAUUCCUGCAGUUAUCUCCUGUUAAGUUAACUUGGGUUAAACGUGAAUUAAACAUCUACCACAGUUAAAAAAAAUUAAAAUACCAAUUUUGUCCUUAAGAGCAAAUAAGAAAUAUUGGUAACGGUAGAGGGAUAUAUUGAAAAAGACCAAAAGUCAAAAUACUUUUUGUGCCCUUAACUUUAAGGACAAAUAAGAAAAUCAGUGAUGGUGAAAGGGUAUAUUUGAAAGGGCAAAAUAGUAAUUUAAAGAGAUAAUAGAGUUAAUUAACAGAUUUUAACUUUAGAGAUAUAUUAAAAAUAGAUUAGAAUUUUCAAUAUUAGCCUUCUAAGAGGAAUAAAUCAGAAAGUCGAGAACUUUUCAAGGGUGUUACAUCUACGUAACAAAGGGUAUAUGAGCAAUUGCCCCUAAAAAAAAAUAAAAUACCUCUUUUUUCUCCUAACUUAAAAGACAACUAAGAAAAGCUGAUGAUAGUAGACUCGUGUCUUUCAAAAAGAUAAAACAUCAAAAUACUUUCUUUUCCUAACUUAAGGCAAAUAAAAAAAAAUUAGUGAUAGUAUAAAAGUAUAUUUGAAAAUGACAAAAUAAUAAUUUUAAAGAGAAAACGACUAUUUUUAACCGUUCACACUUCACACCGACUGUCCCUAGAGCAAGUGGCAAAGGGCUUGGUGGUUAGUACGGACCCGAGGUCCCAAGUUCGAGUCCUAAUUGAUUCACAUUUCCAGCUAAGUUUAGUUUUAAAAGAAAUAAACGAAGCGGAUAACAUGCUAAUUAUCUCUCUCUCAAAAGAAAAAAAAAAUAGUUCACUAACAAAAUUUAACUUUAAAGGUAUAUUUCAAAUAACUUGAAAUGUUAAAAGAAUAUUUUUAAUAUUAGCCUUCUAAAAGGUUAAAUAAGAAAGUCGAAAACUUUUCAGGAACAUAAUUGCAACUAAGGAAAAUUAACCUCCACAAAUAUCAUCUCAAAGCAUGAAUUACACCUUAGAUUAGCACUAAGCCACUAACUGGCCAAAAUGAGGGUGAUCAUGGUGAGAGAUAUUUAUUACAUACAUCAAAUAAAACAUAGAAAGCAAGAACACACACAAAAUAAGAAUGAUAACUCAAAUUAGAACCGAAAAAUGUCUUUCGAGUUUAUGCUCUGUUGAUAAAUUAGAACUGUACAAUGUUUCGCACUCCGUAACCAUAGUAGCCAGAGUAUAAAACAAAAUUUAAUUUUAAUCAAUUUUAUCUUCCCGUUAGGCGAUAAGUAACUUGCAUAACUUGCAAGCGCAUGUUUACUAGUUUGUGUUUGCAAUAGUCAAACAACAAGAAGAGUUAUGUUCUAAAGCAGAAGCUGAACUCUAAAACCAUUUUUCAACUCCAUUUUCGAUUCUGAAACAAAACCAAUAUCAAACUAAAGAGAAAGCCCUAUGUUGAAAUAAUUGCAACAAUGAGGAAGUCUUUUAACCCGAUUACGAUAAUGGGAGAGAUAUUUCUUCUAGAAUUUCUAUGAAACAAUUAAACCUUCGCAAUUAAAUCUGAAACAACAAGAGGAAAAGAGGGCUGCAAACAGUAGUCGCAAAGAGAGGGGAAAACAGCGUGAAUAUGGCAGCACAGAAUGAGAAGAAGAGUAUAAGAGAGAGCAAAUAGGCGCCAAUACUUUACACAAAGGAGGCAAGAGGAAGCUAAGUAGAAUUCAGACUUAAGUAGUUCGCUCCUUUUUGACCAUGCCUAGAGCCCACCACCCUGUAAUUUAUGAAAGCCUAUGGAUGAUCCAGAUUCUACUCCUAUAAACUACAGAGAGUGGGUGUAGCAUUACUCACUAAGGACUUGCCUAAUGCCGCCAAGGGAAGGUGAAAAUUUAACCACUAUAUCAGACUAUAAAUAGAAAAGGCAUUUCACAGAACAUAACUGCAUAUUAGAAUGAAUUGUAAAUACUUCUACUUAGACAAGGGCUGUACCCUAGUGCCACUUCAACACUACCGAAAGAAAAAUUGUCAAAAAUAAACAUGGUAAGUAGGACUAUAUCUAGUACAAGGCAGAAUCAUACAUACGCUAACUAAUGAAUAGCACAUUGAAGAGAUAGCUCAACUGUUAAAAGUUUUGACGACCUACCAUUAUUUCUGGUUUCAUACCUCAUUGUCAAGUGUAGUUUCGACAAAAUUAAACAGUAUUCUUAGUAAAGAAAGUAACAGAAUAUGCCAUCAAACAAUAAAAUAUUCAAAUACAUUACAAAAACACUCAAUCACUAAAUACCACCAAAAGUUUUGAUUGCGAGGUAGUGAGAUCACUGAAAUAAGUAGUAAUAAAAGGUCGGAGCACUCAUCAAAGUAUAAAGACUGCAAACAAUCUGCCAUUUCGUGGCUUAUUCAAUCACAUAGAAAGCACAAGCAAACAACNAACAACGCCCCGAAGCUCAGAUAUCCAUUCACAAAAUGGUUUACGGUUCAAAUGGCGUCUAUAUGCUUUUACCACAAAGCAAUCACAGAUGCACUGAUUCACUCACAGAUAAUAAAAUUUACCAGUAGCCACUUAAGUUAACGAGAAAGCAAAAUUGCAAAGUCACAACAUCCUCUACGGAACAAUUAGACCUAAAACUCAGAUAACAUUGGUUUCCAUUUUGAGCCCAUUUAAGAGUAGCACACAAAGAUUUAAAGCCGGAGAGAGCACGCACCACUCUCAGUCGCCCUUUCUGCGGAAUGAGCAUCCUUCGGUGAGCCUGGCGCGGCCGCCGGUCGGCUGGCACAGAACGGUUUGGCAGCCGCCGCACAUCACUACGGUCUGCGAGUGGCUAAACACAGUUGUUCUACAACACAAUAAAACAAAAACAAAAUUAAUAAAAUUUGUUUAUACAUAAAUGAAGUUGUUUCCUUUUUGCACAAACAAGAUAAAAAGUUAGAUGUUUAACAGCAAAUAUAUGUGAAACGAAAAACUUACAUGGUGAAGCAUCCUUGGCAUUUAACAUCCUACACAUAGAGGAAACCACCGAAACAAAUUACAAUUAAAGCAAACAAACAUCAAAAGUCUCAAAUUUCCAAGAAAUAUUGUUACCAGAAAUAAUAUUUCAAAAAAAGGAGUAAAAUUGAAGGGAUCUCCCAACUAAACGCCAUUUUGAAAUAGAUUCCUCGAACUUAUUUUUCCAUCUUUUCUGAUUGGCACUCCCCAACUUUGAUUUGUUUUGAUUUAGGUUAUUUUCAUCAAUUAAAAUGAAUUUUUUUUCAAAUCUCACGAAAUCGAUAAUUGGUAAUGGCUGAUAGCUAAUAAAUGUUUUAACUUUAACAAAUCCACAAUUCAAUUUAAGAAAAAUAACUUCAAUAAUUAAAAAAAAUAGUAGUUAAGGAGAUAAAAAAGAAAAAAUAUGGAUGGUCUACAUCAAAUGGUCUAUAGUUAAGUGUGAAUCCAUAAGUUUAACCAACGAAAUAUGAUAAUAUAUAAGAAAAGGUGCCAAAUUUAUGAUUGAAAAAAGGGCGAAAUUUACCAUAAAAAAGGAAUUGGGGGAUUGAACGAGCCUCUUGAGCUUGUGUUUCCUCUUCUCGAGCUCCGCGGGAGGGUUUAGGAGAUCGACAUCGUUUUGGAGAACCUAAUUACAUCAAAAUAAAAUCCAAAAAAAUUGCCAUAAACGAUUACAAAAUCGGAAUCAGAUGAUAAAUUAGAAAAAAAAAAAAAAGUGAAAAUUUGAUUAAAAAACCCUCACCAUUUUGUUCGAAACCCUAGGAGGCGAUCGAAAACCCUAGAAUCGCUUCGAUCGCUGCGGCCGCAAUUAGAAUGGGGGAGGAGAUUAAACCCUUGAACGAAGAGCUUUUAUAGUCGCAUUGAGCGAAUGAGAGCCGCAUGAUCGAGGAGGCGUUUGAUCUCAGCCGUAGAAGUGGGCUCCACAAGAGUGUUGAGCAAAUAAAAUAUUUGGUGGGGGUAAUCCCCACCGAUAUGAGACCACUCUAUCCGCCGUUCAUUAUAUAAAGGCAUGAAUCUUAAAGCAACAUGAACGGCGGAUGUAAAACUCAAAUGGGGGUUAAUAUUUGUUUGUUUUACGAAAAGUGAAGGUCAGACUAAAAUAAACUUUUAGACGAACUAAAGUUAAUAAAAAUUACUUAUUCUCUGCUGUUUAUUUAUAUAACUGGAAACGUUGUUUCCCACCAAAUAAAAAUUUGGUGGAGACGAUCCCGACCGUCAGACUACUCUAUCUGUCGUCCAUCGAUAAAAGCAACGAAUUUUAAAGCAACAUGAAUGGCAGAUGUAGUGCUCCAAAUGGAUCGAUAUUUAUGUAAGAUGAAAGACCAGUGGAUUGAGUUUGUUUGUUUGUUUCACCAAAAGUGAAGCUCAGAUUGAAGUAUGCUAUUGAACGAAUUAGAUUUCAGAUAAAUUAUUUUUCUCCCGUUAUUUAUUUGUAUAACUGUGGAACCGAAAUUCCGCACCAAAUAAAAAAUUGACGAGGACAAUCUCCACUGUGAGACUACUCUAUCUGCUGUCCAUUACAUAAAAGUACGAAUCAUAAAACACCAUGAAUGGCAGAUGUAGUGCUCCAGGUGGAUCGGUAUUUACGUAAGAUGAAAGACUUGUGGAUUAAGUUUAUUUGUUUCACCGAAAGUGAAGUUCAGAUUGAAGCAGGCCUUCCGACGAACUAGAGUUUAGAUAAAAAUUACUUUCUUUUAUUAUUUAUUUGUAUAACUGUGAAACCAAAGUUUUCCAUCAAAUAAAAACUUGAUGGGGACGAUCCCCACCGUGAGACUACUCCAUUUGCUGUCCAUCACAUAAAAAUACGAAUCAUAAAUCAACAUGAAUGGCCAAUAUAUAGUGCCCUAAUCGAUUAAUAUUUACGUAAAAUGAAAGACUUGUGGAGUAAUAUUUGUUUGUUUCGCCAAAAAUAAAAUUGGAAUUGAAAUAGGUUUUUGGACGAACCCCAAAAACAUAUAAAAAAAAUUAUAAAUAAAAAAUAACUGUGAAACUAAAGUUUCCCAUCAAACAAAAAUUUGAUAGGGACGAUCCCCACCGUGAUACUACUCCAUCUGUCGUCCAUCACAUAAGAUUACGAAUCAUAAUUAAAUCAACAUGAAUAGCCGAUGUAGUGUUCUAAUAGAUUACUAUUUACAUAAAACAAAAGACUCAAACUGUGAUGAGAGGCUGGCAUUUUCACUCGCGCUAUCCGACCCGAAAGGGAAAACGAAGUCACCCCUGUCUCUAAGCCUGCUAGCUAGAAUAUAUCCAUGAGGUGAAGAGGCCACGCCGCUCGACUAGAAAGUCAGACCUUCCCCGAGUUCUUACUCCCCGACUCUAUAGCUUGAGGUGCCCGCUUUUCUUCUGCCAAACAAUAGAAAUACAAAAUGAAAUGUGAUGAGAGGCUGGCAUUUUCACUCGCGCUAUCCGACCCGAAAGGGAAAACGAAGUCACCCCAUGUGGAUCGGUUUCUGACUCGUGGAUUAAUGUUUGUUUGUUUCGUCAAAAGUAAAAGUGGAAUUGAAAUAGGUUUUUGAACGAACCCCAAAUAUAUAUAUAAAAAAUCCGGAAAAGGCAAAAGUUAAAUGUUGAGAGUGGGAUUUGAACCCACGCCCUUUCGGACCAGAACCUUAAUCUGGCGCCUUAGACCAACUCGGCCAUCUCAACUGUGAGAAUAUUUUCACAUUAUAUUAUAUAUAUGCUAAUAUAUAGAUAAAGCUUUAUAUAUGCUAGGUAUAUUUAUAGAUAAAGCUUAUUAAGUAUAUUACUAAAUUAUUUCUUAUCAAAUUGAUCUUUAAAAUAAAAUAAUAUCAUAAUGGUUUUAAGCCCCCUUAAUUCUAAGUGUUUCUCAUCAGUUCAAAUCAUUGUAUCUGUCAUUUUUUAUCAGUGCACAUGGAAUAGGAGUUAAGAUUAUUUCUACAUUGUUUCCUAUUACAUCCAUCUUUUGGAUAGCAAUGGCGAUCUGCUAAUGUCCCAGUGGUUAAGGCACUCCUCCUGUCAUUUUUAUCAAUGCACGUAGCAUAACACGAGUAUUAAAACUGCUACUAUAUUGUUUUCUAUCAAAUCGAUCUUUUGGAUAAUACUAAUUAUCUGAUAAUAUCUGAAUGGUUGAUCAGAUGCUCAUUUGCAGCUUAUAGGUCCUGAGUUUGAGUCCCGACAGCAUCUUUCUUUGUGAUCUGCUUUGCCUAACUUCGAGUUAGAAAAUUCUAAGGUUCUAGAAAUGUGAUCCUACGUACGAAUAGCUUGAGAAAACAUGAGUAUAAAGCAUUAUUUAUCUAAAAAAUUGGUGUGAAAAAAUGGAAAACAAGAACUUGAACAAUAUAGUCAUCAUGCCUUCCACAACUAAUCUUCCAUGCAUUCUUCAUGAUCCUCCCCCCAUUCAUGCAUUUGCUUAGAAGAAUAACCUAUUUUGUAGUUUCUUUCGAUAUCCUCCCCACAUUUUAAGGGCAAAACCAAGUGCAUGACUCGUCGCAAUCCUUAUUUUCUCGUAUAAAUUCCCAAGAAUCCCUUUGAAUUUUUGAGCACCAAAAUAAUUACCUACUUAUUUGCUUUACAACCAUGGCAAUAACUCAUAGCUCUUUUAAAAUAGUUCCAUGCGCGAUGGUAGUCCUUGUGUUACUUGCCCUAGUCGAUCGUAUUGAUGGAUCCGAUGGCUCCCUCGACCCACCAACCAACGAUGUUGUUCAGUGUGUCACUGGGUGUGGCACGAAAAUAACUUCUUGUGCAACUACAUGUACACAGAAAAGGUUAACGGAGGCGCCCCAAUGUUUUACAAAUUGUAUGGCUAAUAACUUAAGGUGCUUACUGGAAUGUUUCUCCAUUCCUCAGCUUGUUCCAAUCCUACCUUAGUUUCUGCCUAUUAUGAGAUUACUCAAUUCUAUAUAAGCUGCAUGUAAUAGAAACAUUUUAGUGAAUAAAUGAUCUGAGUUGUUCAAGUGGCCAUGUAAUGGUAAGUUUCAUUUCUUCUCUUUUUUCUAAGGAAAAGAAAACUAGUGUAUGUGAUCAUAGCAGAAACAAGGACACAAAAGAAGUUGAUUUAUGAAAGAAAUAUUAAAAAAAAAGAGAGUUUAUUUUUUUUUUAAGAAAACAUCAAUUGGAAAUUUGGAAUCUAUAGUUUGACUUGUUUAAAUAUAGCUCCCUACACCUGCUUUGACACUAUUAUUGUGAAACAACCGUUGUACUCUAAAAGUUUAAGCUAUUAGAGAACGGUAUUUAAACAUUUUUAUAUUUAACACUCCCCCUCACGUCUGGGCUCGAGACUUUUUAGUUGGCCCAUGACGUGAGCUUAAAUUAAAUGAGAGGAAAUUAAUAUGUUAGGAGCCUUGAAUGACUUGAACUCAGGACCUCUUGCUUUGAUACCAUAUGAAACAACUGUUGUACUCUAAAAGCUUAAGCUGUUAGAGAACGGUAUUUAAAUAUUUUUAUAUUUAACAAUUAUAAUGUUGUAUAUGAGUUUAUUUGAGUAACACUCUUUUUAUGUUAUGCUUUACUACCUAUUUUCGAAAUUGAGAGAGAGAGAGAGAGAGAGAGAGAGAGAGCACAAAGUAGGAGCAAGUUGUGAGGCUCUGCUUCUCUAGGGGAUCACCCAUUCUAUAACUAUGCAUAUUGUGACUAUUCUAGUCCUAGCACGCUUAAUCUUUUUAAUAUUAUGGGCUUAGCCAUUGCCUACAAAUAUUAUAGCCGAGUUAAGAGUUUUAGUCUUGUUAUACCUUAUAUUUAGAAUUAUUCCAAAUCUUGAAAGUGUCGCACUCUUCCGUCUUCUUUAAGUUAUGACGUUUUCAUUAAACUCAAGCAUAUUCAUUAGUAUUAGAUGGUGUGAAACUCAUCUCGCUAGCCUUAUUAUUCAUCACCUAGCUGAGCUUGUUAUUUAGUCUCUAGUCAACUGAGACUUAUAUUUUUCGGUUGUGAUUAACUCUAAUAUUAAGUGUGGCACUCUACUUCCCAGGAGAGCUGCCCAUUCUAAAACUACUCUAAUUCUGAUAUGCUUAAUUGUUUUUUUUUUUUAAUCUCUUGGGAUUAGCUACAAUUCAAAAUGCUGUAGUCAGGUUAAGGGGUUUAAUUUUAUUAUAUACUAUAAUUAGGACUUCCAAAUCCUAUAGGGGUAUAACACAAGUGCUUCUUUAUCCAUCUCUAAAAAAGCAUUUUCCAAAGAAAAAAUUUUAGAAUUUUUGCAAAGGGCUUGNGCUUAGCCAUUGCCUAAAAAUAUUAUAGCCGAGUUACGAGUUUUAGUCUUGUUAUACCUUAUAUUUAGAACUAUUCCAAAUCUUGAAAGUGUCGCACUCUUUCGUCUUCUUUAAGUUCCGAUGUUUUCAUUAAACUCAAGCAAAUUCAUUAGUAUUAGACGGUGUGAGACUCAUCUCGCUAGCCUUAUUAUUCAUCACCCAGCUGAGCUUGUUAUUUAGUCUCUAGUCAACUGAGACUUAUCUUAUAUCUUUCGGUUGUGAUUAACUCUAAUAUUAAGUGUGGCACUCUACUUCCCAGGAGAGCUGCCCAUUCUAAAACUACUCUAAUUCUAAUAUGCUUAAUUGUUUUUUUUUUUUAAUCUCUUAGGCUUAGCUACAAUUCAAAAUGCUGUAGUAAGGUUAAGGGGUUUAAUUUUAUUAUAUACUAUAAUUAGAACUAUUCCAAAUCCUAUAGGGGUAUAACACAAGUGCUUCUUUAUCCAUCUCUAAAAAAGCAUUUUCCAAAGAAAAAAUUUUAGAAUUUUUGCAAAGGGCUUGAUGGUUGGUAUCUGAGACCCAAGUUUGAAUCCUAGUUGAUUCACAUUUCCAGCUAAGUUUAUUUCUAAAUGAAAUAAACGAAGCGGGUAGCGUGCUACCUAUCUCUCUCAAAAAAAAAAAGAAGAAAGAAUUUUUGCUGUAGCACGAAGUUGAAAUGAGAUUUUAACCACCAAAAGUAAGAGUAUUUUUUCUCAAAAAAAAAAAGAGUAAGAGUACCAGUAUGAAGCCAGAAUUUAGAUUUAUGCUUUUCUCGAUAGCGCUACUCAAAUAGAUUUUUUUUGACAAAACAUUGCGAAAACUAUAAUGUAAAGAAAAAAUUAGUUGAUGUCCAAUGAGUUUAUCAAUCAUGCUGACUUUUUAAUACAAAUUCGGCCGAAAAAGGGUUAAACAAGCGGAACGGUAACCAAGUAAGUCUAUGACGAAAGAUCUAAAAUUGCUUACUACUACUUCAAUCAUUAGUGAAAAGCCCUAUUUUCAGAGGAGGUGGGUGGAAAUGUUAGAGAGAAGAGUCGGCAAUGAAAGAGUUGUUUAUGCCAACUCAACUCUAUCAGAAUGUCAGAUCAGAACGUCGGUGACAAAGCGCGAUUAACAUAAACUUAUUUAAAUAAGCAUGCGUUGAGAUUAAGCUGUUAGUCGCUAAGUGGUAUAGAUUUUUGUGGUAAAAGCUAAUAAAAACCAUAAAAAAAAACUCACAAUGGAAUUUAUUUAACAAAAUUUUCAAUUUAAUUGAAAAAAAAAAGAAAAUUAAAAGUUCAGGACUUCCUUUCGAAAUAGCCAAUUGUUGAGGGGGGUACUCCAUACUUUUUCCUCACCUCCUGAAAUCGGCGCCGCAAAAGAGAACGAAAGGGUCUUAUUAUAAAAUACGGCAACGAGUUAACCACCGCCGCCGAAUUCAGUGUAUCCGUUUCAACAACCCGAUAACUACUCGUCUUUCUCCUCACUCUCGCUCUCUACUCUCUCUCCCUUCGGUCGGGGGAGAACGCGAACCGAACCGGGCGGCUCAUCUCGACCGGAAAUGGCGAACCGGACCGGACCGGGCGGGGCGGCGGAGGAGGAAGACGACGACCCCGUCGUCUCCUUCCCGGAGCUCCUCCGCUUCUGCGGCCGCGCCCAAACCCUAAUCACCGAGCUCCUCCUCCUCGCGGAUCGCGUCCCCUCGGAGUUCCGCGAUCGCCGCUUCGACCCCGUCCUCUUCGAUCUCAGGCUUGUCCCGAAUCCCCGUACUCUCUCUAUCUUCGCGUUCGCAGUCACUCUUUUUUCCUGUAAUUUUUCGUAGAUUUUUGGUAAUUUGUAGGGAUGUUAACGUUUGGUGCUUCCUGAAUCCCCUUCCUCUCUCUUCGUGCUCUAAAUCUGUUCUUUCCUGUAAUUUUCCAUGGAUUUUUGGGUAAUUUGCAUCGAUCUUAUAGCCUUAUGCUUAAACGAGAGAAGAUGUAUGUUUAAACUAGAUUCGAAGGGGCUACUAGCACAGUUUGAUCAUUAGUUUUUCAUUUUGAAAGGCCUAUAUAUACAAAAUCAUAGGAUUUGGAAACAAAUUUCUUAGGUUUCAACAACAGCUCUUAUGGAAAAUUAUAGAUCAUUGAAUUUGGUAUUGCUUGAUGUUUAGGAAAUGGGUUUCCGAAUCUUAUGAAAUUUCAUAUAUAGGCCUUCGAAAUGGUGUAGGUUGCUCCCAACGUUUUAGCCUUUGAUUCAACGACCUCUUACGUUUGAUUUAACAUGCAUGUAAAAAGAGAACAACUUAAAUUUCUCUCAUUUGAUACUAUACUCCAAAUAUGUACUGCAUUUCAGCUCAAUACAACUUUUUUUUUUCUAAUUUUAUUUUAAAGUUAGGAAGCUGCAGAGUUUGCUCUUAUCGAUUAUGUUUCAUUUAAGGUUUCAUUGUUUUUCCAGAUAUUUUGACUCUCCUAGUGAUUUUGAGUCAAGGAUUGAAGGAAAUGCUGAAUUAGAAGCUCUAGAAGAUCAGCUCCGUGAAUCUUGCUCUAAUUAUAUGCAGAGGUUCUUUAAUCUGGCUAGUGGAAUUGUCAUUUACCAUAUGGAGCUCCUUAAAUACCUAAAUGAUCUUCAGGUAAGCUCUAGCUAACUCACUAACGAAGAUUUUUAUUUUAUGCUUUUUGUGUGUGUGUGUGUGUGUGAGUGCGGGCGCAUGCGCUACAAGCCACUUUACUACAGUUUUUCAUUCUAUAGCAAAAUUUACUCAAUCGAAGUUAAUUGAAAUGGAAAUUACUCUAGUUCCAUUUCCACUUGUACUUUACUAUAGCUAAAGUUCUUGCUAACUCAAUGUCCACCAUUUGUGUAAAAUUCUUAGCAUUUUACUGAAAUCCACCAUUGCUAGUUAACUAUGUGAUCUCUUUUAACUUUUCCUGUUUCAUUCUGCCAAGUAUCUGAUUCUUAGCCCAGUGAAUGUGACAAACAUUUUCAUCUUUGUAACUAUUGAAUUGAGAGUUUAAAUAUCUGUGUAUUUUAAGCCUAUUUAUACUUGGUCAUUAAAUUUAACUAACAAAUUGAAAUCUACUAUCCAGGAAGGUCUUUAUGUGCAUUAUUCACUUGAUAGUGUAUUGGAGAGCAAGUCUGGGUGCCAACUGCUGACAGAGUCAAUUACAUUAUUUGCAUGUGUCCUGUUAUUAAUGGAGCACAGGAUCGUUGGGAUUUUGCGUGAGAAGCUCCUUGUGGCACAUCUACGAUAUGAUCGUUGUUUCAAUUUGCCAAAGCUAGAGGAAAUAUGCUCUCUCUGUCGUAUACACCAGCCUAAUACAGGAACCUUAAGUCACACGAGUGCUUCUUCAUUAACCUCUGAUAUUCUUUCCAUACAAAAGCCAGAGAUCCUUUUUGCAAGAUUCCCCUUUCCUAAACUGGUGGUUGAUGCUAUUAUAUCUUGCUUACGGGGAGAUGACAUGUACAAUAACAUUCGCCACUAUCCAGAUCCACAGCAUCGGACUGUGGCUUUGUCUUUACAGGGUGGACGUUUGUACCUGCUGUUAUUUUAUUCUACUGACUUUUUACAUAAUGGUCUUGUUAUGCGAGAGAUUGUUGAUAGGUUCUUUAAGGAUAAUUGGGUGGUUCCUAUAUUUUUGCAUUUCUUGGUAGAUUUAUUUGCCUCAUGGGAUGCAUAUAAAGAAGCAAAAGCUGCAUUAUCCUCUUGUCUUUCGCCCAAUUUUAUACGUGAUUGCUGCCUUUAUUAUUCUUCUAAGGUUGGUAUUAUCCUUGGAAAGUAUUAAGAUUUUUUGGAGCAUUUUAUAAGAUAUUUAUGUAUAAGGCUACAUACCGAAAUUUUGUUUCCUUGUCUUCUUGUAAAUGUACUUGACAAUGUACCCCCUUCUUACUCAUUUAUGGUUCUAUUUUGCAUAUAUAUUCCCCUCAAAACACAUUCAUUAAUGUGUAUAUUUUUUCAAAGAUGAAAAUUCCACCUAUAGCCUGAGAAUUAACUCAUAUUUGCAUACAUGCUUAUGCUCAUUUUUUUCCUUUGUUAGAAAUGUAUUGGAGAUUUAAAAAUGACCGUUAUAUCCAUUUACACCAAUGCUCUUCAAAGCCGGUGAGGGUUUGGUUCCUAAAAGUUUAUUUUAGUUUUUAAAAUGGCAUUAACGCAGAAAUGAGGACAAGUAAGUGCCUCUUCAAGCCGUGUGUUUAGAGGGGCAUAUAUCCAAAUAUAACAUUACAAUAUCUGCAAGGGUAUAAGUGCAAAUACGCAUUUUUAAAGGAUACACAUUCAAAUAUAUGUGUUCAGGAGAUAUGUAAAAUUCCAUUAAUUGAACUCAGAUUUUUUUUUCCCCCCUAAUUCUACACAUCGUUUUCUUCAUUCAAUUUGUUCUUCUUGCACAUUUUUCUAUUCCUUUCUCAUAGUCUUACUAUUAUCACAUAUGUUUAUCCUGCAGGUUACGCAUCUCUUGUCUGAGUUAGGCUCCAGUCUCUCUGAUGGUGCUUUGAAGAAGGAUUAUGUCCUGGAUAACUCUCAACAUCUUAUCUCCUUUAUAAGAAAUUGCAAUAUUACUCUGCGCUGGCUUUUGCUUCAUAGAAUUGUGAGCCCUUGUUCUUAUGCUCGUAUUUUUUUCCUUUUAUAGAUGUCAUAGUUAUUUAGUGUAACUGUAGGUAUUUUCUUUAUGCGCAUUUAUAGGAUCUAAUCUAAUAGUAGACUAAUGAUUUUAUAGAGCAAUGACAAGAGGUCAAGGGACAUAGUGACUUCUAUAGGGCUGGCGCAGCAAGUCGAUGAUGAUAGCUUACUACAACUCCUACUGAAGGCUUCUCAAGUGAUUUUCUAUUUUCAUAGGAACUUCUUUCACCAAUAAAUGUUAUGCUGAAAUCUUUUAUUUGGAUGUUUGACAAUUAAUUUUAAAUAUUCACACUCCACAGCUUGAAUUUGAAGUGAAAUUUCUUUAUGAUGAACUUUUGAGAACCAGAGAAGCUAUGUGGUGCGAGAAGAAACGCUGUGCUUCUGAAUGCAUGGAAGACUUAUCCCGAAACCACUUUGGCACUUGGGUAUGUAUUGGCUUUUUCAUGGUAGAAGCAAUCUAUAUAUUCUCUUCUUGUACAGCUACUAUGUACAGUUUAGGUUUUUGGAAUAUUAUUAACACUGACAUUCUGAUCCAAAAAACAGUGUUCAACAACCACUCCAAUAAUUAUGUAUUAUAUUAUUCUGCCAGACGUAAAUUUCCUUUGUUCUCAUCUUUAAGCCAUUGUGCAACAAUGCAAACCAAAGCAACUUUUGUGUAAAUUAUCAUCAAAUGGCAGUGUAAGAACCUACUUAGUCUUUAUAUCAGUAUAGCGUACACAAAUUAGAUCUUGUGUCAAUUAAUUGAUAUUUGCUGUUUAUGUAGGCUUCAUCACACAAAUUCAAGAACAAGAGCCUGAAAGACUGGUUUGAUAAGUUGUCACUGGAGGUGAGUGAAUCCUGUUUUGUUCAAUUUGAUCCAAAUUAGCAAGCACAUUUUUUAAGAUUUCUUGUAAUAUACUCUCAAACUACAUUUUCGUCUUGACAAACACUGCAUACUUGCUAAUUUAUUUGAACAUAGAAGCCGGCAAUAGUUUGAAUCUGGUGUAAGAAAAACUGAUGCAUUUUGGUCUUGGCAAUUUAUUUGUGGAUUUUCUGCUAAGAAAAAUGGAUAGUUUUGAUGCUUGUUUUACACAUGUGACUCAAUUGUGUCAUUGUUCUUCGCAACCUUACAAAUGUUGGCAUUGCAUCUAUGUGAGAAAGUCUUGCAUUUGAGCUGGUGUGUCACCAAUAGUCUAAGGGACGACAUUCUUUUCAUUCUCUCUCUUUCUCUCUCUCUCUCCGAUGUUGUUCCUGCCGGUUUCUUUUCUUAUUCUAGCGUUAGAGUCCUGAGAACUUUUACAUUUUUUCAAUCUUCAUAGAGGCUAUUAUUUUGUUUAAUAUGUAAUACUAUCCCUUUUCUCUUAUUCUUAAAUAACUACAGUGAUUACAAAGCCAGCUAUUCUGAAUUUUACUCGUGAUCAAUCAUUAAUGUUCAUCUUUAGCAGAUGCAGUCACUAAAUUAUUCUGGACAUGGAAGCUCUGGGAGAAUAAUCUAUCGUGUAAUAUCUUCAAUUAAGGAUAUUGAACAACUUGAUCAAGUAAGUAUCUGUGCCCUCUUAUUAUAGUUAAUGUUACUGAAAUAGGACUAUGUAUUUUGUAGUUUCCAUGGUGUGCAAGUAAUACAAAUGUAAAGAUGUACAUUUUUCUUUUCAAUUGUUAUUUAUUUCCAGAUCCAGGUUAUUUAAUAUACAAUUGUUUUCAUGAUUAUUUCUCUUUAGGUACUAACUUAGCUUUCUUUGACGAAAUAUUUAUAGGUUGAAGAAAGUUUGCAAAUCAAACAUGGGUUAGCCAAAGUUCAGAAGUCUCUUCAUGACAUGAUCAAAAUUCUCAAUUUAGAUAUUGAUGCUAUGAGGGUAUUCUCUGUGGUAAGUCUAGGAUCCUUUUUGUUUGCCAUAACUUUACUAGAUUAACAUGCAAGUGCCAUUAUGGAAAAGCUUGGUGGUGACAAAUAUAAUGACAAUGCACAACUAUCAAGUGCUAUCACGUAUCAGAAAGCUCCUUUAUUUUCUUUUUUGUGUUUCUUGAACUAAGGGCUAUAAGGACUCAUAGAUCGUAUUUGACACCUAAGAAAAAAUUAUCUGUAGAAAGUUAGAAACUCCUAGAAUAGAGUUGGGAAGUUGGGCACGAGGAUGAGAAACACCAAGCUUGGUACAAGGACAGAUAACCAAGCUCAAUCAGCUUAGAACCUCAUGCCACACGUCUAUACUUUUAGCUGCUGUGUUUUUGUUGAUUAGACCACUAUAAUAGUGAGGACCACCAUAUGAACAAGUUUAGUUUAUUUAUUUUUAAAUUUAGGACUUGUUUGGACUGGCUAGAGCUUUUGUAGCUGUGCUGUUUCAGUAGAGAUCUUCAAGAAAGCAGUAACAACUUUUAAUUAUAAUCUUUGUACGGUUCUCCUAGUUGCAGCAAAAGCAGGAGCUUCUACUUUUGGUUUAGAAGCUCAUAUUCAUCUUCUGCAACAAGGAAACUAUAGAGCUAAGGGUUUUUAUUUGUCAAGUGCCUAUUUGCUACUUUUCGAAGUAGAAAAGUUGCUCGAGAAGUCAAGACUACAUAGGCACACAAUUGGAAAUUGAAAUAGGAUGAACUUACUCUUGCGAACGGUUGCUGUUUUGUUAUAUCUUUUGGAGUUUUUGUGCACUAUUGGUGCCUUGCCGUUGUUGACAUUUACAAUAGAAUGUCAUGCCACCAUAAGAAUGAUACGAAUACAACCAAAUUUUGAGUAUGUGGUCAGGAAACCUUAGUAUAGUUGCAGCAGUUAGGAAUAUUUCAAGUUACUGUUUUAGGUUAAGCUAUUGUUUGUGGUCAACUUUUUUAAGAAUCUGAUGAGAAAAUUAUGGUUGAUGAGUCUUUCCCUUUUCAGGUUACAGAUGCUGUAUAUGCUUGGGGAUACAUUGCAAAAUAUGAUAAACUUUUGAAGAAGAAGAUUAAGCAAGAUCCAUCAACAAUGCUGAUUUUGCAUGCCUUAUUUCUUAAAUUUCAGUCAUUUCUGAAUGUACCGCUACAAUGGAUAGAGCAGUGCCAAAGGUGUGCCCGGCAAUCCCUUCCCAAUUUGACAAUUUGAAGUUAAUUGAGCUUUUGGUUGCAAUCAAAUACUCGAGGGCAUUGACUAACCAUAUGGAAAAUUACUUUUUUGGUUUUUACUAGCUGUUUAGUUGGACUUCCAUCAAUCUUAACUGAAUCAAGACUAUGUAGUGAGUAUCAACUUCAGAUGGUUCUAAGUUCUGAUAGGAUUACUUCUGGAUGUUGGUGUCUUCUUGACAUGUCUAAGAACAAGCGUAGCCCAUUUUAUCAAUGCUCACUGUUUCAAAAAGAAUGUGCAAGUAUUAUAGUUGUGGGAUACUAUGGUGAUAUUUUUCAAAUAGAGAGGUGAAAGCUUGUAGAUAGAUUGAUCCAUCAGAUCAUAUGUAAAUUUAUCAAAAUGUCAAUUUAUUAAAUGUCAAUUUAUGGUGUUACUUUAUGUAAAAUUUGUUGGAUUUUUUUUUUUUUCUUUUCUAUCACCAUGACUUGCAGCGAGGAUCUCCCAUAUGUCUCGAGAUACUAUUCCUCAGAGUAUGCUGCUAGAAUUUUCACCAUUCUGGAGAUUGUUCCUGUGAGUUUUCUACUCUAGAUAACAUAUAAAACACUGUUCUUCCAGUACUUCAGUUGCUUCUAAUGUGAUACUAAUCAUAUCUUUGCUUGACAAAUGAUAGUUCUAUACACCCCUACAAAAUUAUCUAUAUUUACGCUUCCCAGCAAGUUUGAAUUUUUGCAUAUGCCCUUUCAAAACUUAGUUCCUUACAUAUAUGCCAUGUACAUACAGAAUGCUCAUCUCGAAAAGAACUUUUUAUAGUAAAAAGCAACUCUCCCUCAUGAUUGGAUGUUGGGAACUUACGAAGUACCUUAAGAUAAGUAAGUAAGAAACUGUGCUUUCGAAGGACAUAUAUGAAAAUUAUUUAGUCUACAGAGGUAUCAAAUAAUUGAUUUUUCAGGAAUGUAUAUGAACAAGCCUCUGUCUUAACUUUGUUAUGCUAUAGUAAGUAUAUGAAUUUUCUUUUAAUUGUUUCAGGUCGUAUUGCUUGAUAUAUUUAAUGAUAACUUACAAGCUCAGCAUCCAUUUCACCUAGUAAAUCGUAUUGACAAGGAUGCUUUUGAAGAUUUUAUGCAGGUAUGUACUUGACAAGAUAAUUUGUUUUGAAUUUCUUCCGUAAUAAUUUUUAUCCUAUUUGGGCAGUGCAAUAGACUUAAUACUGUUCUAAAGGUUACUCAAAGUGCUUCUGAUAAGUUUACUGCUGUUGCUACUGGGAAUCUCCCCGUUUCCAUUUAUGAGUUACCCUCUCCCUGUGUAGGUUUAGGUUUUCAGUUUGCAGAUGCAGUUUUUUUAUUUGUCAAAUCUGACAUAUAGAUGCAUAACGAUUAACCUUAUUUAUACCAUAUCCACGGGCAUCAACUUUUCUUUCUUUCCCUCUCUCUCUUUUUUGUUUCGUUCUCUUUUUUUUGGGUUUUUUUUGUGGUGCGGAGCAAGCUUUCUUGAUGGGCAAUAGAGUUUGAAUUUCGUCAGUUUGGGUAAGUUUUGAAAGAAAAUCAAACUAAGCAGCAAUUAUUGGACCAAAACAAGCUGAACAAUUGUCAGAACACAAAAAAAUGAAUGAAUUUUUUAAAUUGUUGUUCAGUUCAAUUGUUUUGGGCCCAUACUGUUUUGUACUCCAAAAGUAAUGGACCUAUUGUUCAUUAUCAAAAAGUUCAAGGUUAGUAGAGCCAUUUGGAAACGGAUGAGUGAAAACAAGAAGUCUUGUCAAAAAGCUUGACCAACUUUUGGAAAUCAAGCUUUAAAUUUUUGUUUUGAUUUGUCUUAUUUGGUUCUUUGGGUGUCUCUUCUACAAACAGAAAAAUUUUUACCGAUUACAUUUCACAUUUAUGAUUGAGAUAGAAGUAUAAUAGCCAUACUAAUGUUUGUUUUUCUAUUUAUGGCUGGUUUGUACUCUUGGUGCUGCAGUUGGAUACACAACUCAAACUAGCAAGGCAAGCUGGCAAAUUGUCUGUUAUUUCUGAGGUAAUCUUUUUACAAUACCCCAUUUUUACCUUGUAUCACGAAUUUCAUGUCCAAGUAGUGUUGGAAAAGACUGUUUAGUUAAUCAGGUCACAAGACAUUACACACCCUAUGGGCCAGCUAAUACUAUUGUGGUGUAUACAAUUGGUAAAAGAUUCUGUUAGAAUGCAAUUGUUGGUACUACUAAUUUUGUGAAGCAAAUCUCUUGCUUCUCUUCCUGUGCUUAGGACCUGGAAGAAGUUCAAAAUACGCUCAGAUUUAUAGUUAAUGCUUUCUAGUAUGUGAACCAUGUCGUGUAUUAAAUGGGGAUAAAUGUUGAUGCAGGGGAUAAUGAUCAUGUCAAGGAACUUAAAUGGCCUCAUCAAUUCGGUAUGUGUUUCUCUCUUCGAAACUUCUAGAGAAUGUUUUUGCUGUAAGUAAUCUAUAAAUAUGGCUCCACCCCAACUCAUUGGUUGAGACAUUGUCGAUUUGUUAUUUUUGCAUAUUUAAUAUAUCAAGCACUUUAACUGAAUUGUUUAAAAGUUGUCAUUUUCUUUCCUUUUUCUUUUACCUUUGUUUUUCUUCAAAAAUUUGGAUAACCUAUAAAGGCAACAGUAAUUCACUUAAUCUUCACUUCUUUUGACUAGAAUAAUCUGCUUGACCUUGAGCCAACUUGAGACCGCAUAAUUUACAGUCUGUUUCCUUGAGUAAUUGAAGUUGUAGGUCUUCACUUGUCAUUGCACAUAUUAUGAGCUUCACAUCCAGUCUUAUUUAGCUGUGCAAUUUUUGAUUGGCUAAUUUUAGCGUUCAAGUUCCUCAUAUUUAUUUAACUUUUCCUUUAAAGGACUUAAGGAACUGGUUGGAAGAGAAUGUACGGAAGGAACUAUCAAGGCGGCUAGAAAGCAAGCUGCAAUCCCAUUUCUUGCCUCAUGGUAUGGAUCUACAAUUGCAACCAACUUUGGAUUUUUUAAUUGUUAAAAAUUAUUUAUUUUUUCUUCAUGUGAACUUGAUCCUUGAGUAAAAGUACAAAAAUAAAUCACCUACAGUCCAUAUCAUACAUCAUUUAAGCCUUCAACAACAAUAGGGAGCAAGCUAGAGCAUUACUUAAAGAUGAGAAGGCUUAUAAAAGGAAGUGACCAAGGAAUUUGCCAUUUAAGCUAUAUGGCCAAUUACUGGGUUCAGUCUUUGUUAUUGACCAUUGUUUUCUAGUUAGGUCCAUGUAACUUAGAAGCAACCCUUCAGAAAGUUCUUUCGACAUGAGAAUGGUCUAGACUCUAGAAUAUGGAGACAGAGUGGGACUUUAUGGUGAUUAGUUUCACCUGUUUUAUUUGUAAUUUUUUUAGAUUAAUACUAGUCUUAUCUGUGGGAAAUAGAUGUAUUUAUCUGUUAAGUUGCAUUUUCGGGAAAAAAAAGAAGCAUUCAACAGCAUUUUCUUGCAUAACAAAGUAGUACAUAUAGUUAAUGUUCAUCUAUAUUAUGUACUUUCAGAAAUAAACGAACAAUUUUUAUCUUGUGGAUCUUCUUGCUCCUACAGCUGGGCGUGACGAUUUAGAAACUAAUCUGGUGUCCUUAUCAACUUUUAUCCUUUCCCAGUUGCGAAUGAUGGAAACCUUACAGGUGCUUAUCACUAUAUCUCCGUUUUGAUAAUAUGCUCUGAUCUGUUGUUUUCUAUUAAAAUUUUUAUUAGCAUCUCUAUGCAUUAUGCUUCUUGCUUACAAAAGAUUUUGAUGCAAGACUAAAGUCAUUUUACUAUAGCAUUGUGCAGCUCUGAUACCAAUUGAUGCAAAUUAGAAGCUGGAAUAAAAUUGUUUGAUGUUAUUGGGCCAGCAUUUUGGCACCACAUAGUUAAACCCUUAAAUCCUCUCAUUUUGGAAGAAAUAAUGUUAUUAUACUUUUACAGGACGUACUUCAUAUUCAUGGGAGUCAUAUCUGGGAAGAAACUUUUACUGAACUACUGAAUCGUUGUGCUCAGAAAGUAUGCCAUAGACUGAUUUAUUUUUAUUUUUCAUUUUAAUCUUCCUUUUCUAUCAAUAUGAUUUUUAGCUUAAUCUGUGAUAGUAUGCCCUUUUUUCUCAUUUGUGUGCAUGUACAGGAACAAACUGAAAUUGUGAGACGAAAGCAAGAAUCCAAAAUUUCAGUUGCAAAGUUGAAUGACUUCUCUAAGUCAACCACUUUUUUUGGUAAGUUCUACUGAUAUCUUUCUUUUUAGGUAGAGAUAUUUACAUGUUCAGUCUUUCAAAAUUACUAUUUAGAUAUCUAUCCCUUCAAUAUGGUAAAUUUCAUAAAUUUCCUUGAAUAUAGAACAUUGUUUUUACAAAAUUCCUCUCUUUAGAAAACUUUCCCAAUAAAAACCAACUUCUUGAAAUGAAUCAGAUGGCUCCCUAACUUAAGAUAAGGGCGGGCACUUCAAGAGGGCUAUGUUUGAAUACUUGGACUUUACAGGGAUCAAUAUAAAUAGAUGAUUUUGUAGGUUAAACCAUGUACCGUGUCAAUCAUGUUAUAAACCAUGUAUAAUGUAAUUUUCUAUUAUUAACACUUUCCAGGACAUUUAUUGCACCAAAUGUUUCAGUUAACGGAUCCCUCUCGAUCAAUGUAUAUAGAGCCUAUGGUUGGUUGGUGAGUAUCAUUUUGGAUGGGUUGGUCAUCCACUUCAUUGGGUAAAUUUUGAAUGAUAUAUCAGUUCUGUAAAUGAUCUUUAGUUAUUAGCAUAUUGCUUAUUAAAAGUUACUCAUUAGCACAUACAACUUACAAAUGUUAAAUUGCAUAUAUGCACUUCCCAAUUACCAGUUGUGCUCAAAACCUAAGGAUUGAGACUUUUUCAGUUUCAAUUUCUAUUGGUGGCAGUCCAAAACUGUGGUCUAAACCAAUCUGAUGUCAAAAUAUUUCAAAUUUCAACUACAUUGGCUCUAAAGCAGGCUUAGUUUUAGAACAUUGACAUAAAUUAGUUAAAACUAGCUUUUAGGGUCAAAUUUGGUUCAUUCACGGGUCCUUAAACUUAUUUUACUGUAUUUUGACUUGCUUGAUAGGCACCAACAUCUAAGAUGUUAGCAGGAGGAUUCAGUUACAACUAAAACAUUUCUCUUUCUUCUUUUUUUUUGUUUUAAUAAUUUGGAUGCUACAUUUCAAUCAAAGUUCAGUAAUGACAGUGAAAACUAUCAACACUGCCAAAACCUGCAACUUAAGGUGCCCAAACAGAAACCAAUAUCACAAACCUCAUAGCCACAAUAAUGUACACAUUGGGUUAUAUGUAUAAUAUUGAAAGCUCAGAGUAGUUGAGUUGAAGAUCGACUUUCACUUGGAUAUAUAUUUGCCAAUAAGAGCUGCAUGAAGUUUUCUAUUCAAAGAUACUUCACCUUUUUGCUUUUUAUCUACUUCUCUAUAUUCCUGCUAAUUCUAGAGUUUCAACUGUUUUUGGAUAUAUAAAUUUUUUUCUUUCUCCUCAGGUUUGAUGCAGAAGGCCGUGAAUUGCUUGGGUUGCACUUUUUUAAUCUACUUGAGUCAAGGUUAUCUCAAGCCUUCUUACUUCAAUAAUCGACUUAUUUUAUUUUCUGCUUCCUUGCUGAUUGUGAACUUCUAAUGUCAUGCCUUCUUUCCUGUAGUUGAUGUUUUUAUCAGGUAUUUGGUAUGGUGUAUAGUUUUUUGCAAUUACAGCUUUAACAUCUCAUGAUCUGUAGUCCCAAGUGCAACUAAUCUUGUUUUACGAUACAUACAUUUAUUAUCUACAACCCUACAUUCAUAUUUAACAAUGUUGUCUAUAAUGGUUUUUUUGGUAGCUCAUUUCAGUUCGUGGCAUUCUUUGGACAUUUUCUGUCUAAAGAACUGCUAAUGGAACAAAAAUUGUGGCUGUUUACACCUACCGGUGAACUUAAAUUUCAAUGGCCCUAUUAGUUUCAAAAGGCUUGUCUCUUGGUAAUCGUGAGAAGAGUGCGCGUGUUAUGUUGAGGCAAUGUUGGCUGGCAACCUCAUAUCCCAACUUGUCAUUGAAACUAAUUUCUUAUUUUCCUUCCCUUCAGCCGAAAAGUUCAUAUUUUCUCCUUUGUUUAAGUGUGAUUUCUUCAGCAGUUUAUUUAUUUAUAAUUUUGUUGCAAGUCAUACAGUUACUCUUCUUUAAGGGCCAAUAUCUUUUAUUUUAUUUUAUUUUUCACUGUGACAUGAUUUUUUCUGCAUUAUGACGUGAUUUUUCAAGUGAAUUAGUCAAUGGGCUACAUCCUUCAGUGUUGGACAGGUUGGCUUGGCCAUUUUGGACUCUCUAUUAGCUUUACUCAUAAAGGAGAAUCUAGAACUUACAUUGAAGAGCUUUCAUGUUUUGGUGAGUAAAGCAACAGCGUGCCACCUUAUCCUUUUCCAUUAUUUAUUUCUUAUUGAUUGUUACUCGAAGGAAUGGUAGCCUUGUGCAAAAUUGCCAACUACCAAGUGAACUUACGAGUGCAAUAGAUGCAUGACAAGGUUUUACUUGUCAAGGCAUGAACCUUGCUGCUCAGGGUUUGGCACACUGCUCAGUGCCGUUGGAUUGGGGGCCGCUCUUCGGCACCAUGAUACAAUAUGUUUGUAGUUCCCCUAUUUAGUAAGGGAUAAGUAUUUCCCACCUUCAGGAUGAGUCGACUCACAGUAGACUAGUAUUAUGGAAUUGAUAAUAUGAUACCGUAGAAGGAUGAUCUAGAUACAACAAGCAUAUAUUCAAAGAUGGGAUGUAUUUGCUUGCUGACUUUCCUGCUAGUGUUUUCUGAGUACGAGUUGUUUGAAGACGCACUGAACAGGUUUUUCAUCGAAGUUCCCCUAGAAGCUUCUGCAUUAUAGAAGAAGCUGAAGCUUAAAUUAAGCUUCUGCCUAGGCAAAGGCUCCAGAGUUACAGUCUACCAGAUGAAUGUUCUAGACUAAACCAGCUGUACUCAAGCAGGGAGGCUAAAUAGGCACUUAGUUCAUUAUUUGACUUGUUGGUCUGCAUCAGGACCAUUUCGAUUUCCUACUUGAUAGCAUUCCUUUUUAUCUCAGUUGGAUUCUAGAUGCAUGGAAGAACUGCACAAGCUUGAUAAGUUUAUGGGGCCUCCUACAUCCAUUCCUUUGCUGGGUUUGUCGUUGUACAAUCAGAUGGUAAGAACUACUACUCCAGUGACAAUUACAUGCGAUAGUCAUAACUAUGACAAAUAAUAUAGCAUAGGACCUAACUUUAACUUCUAUUUCCAUUAUUUGAAACUUCUCUAGAACUAUUUUUGUUUUUCUCUUUUUCUAUAUCACUUUAUCAUGGUACAAUAUAGUUCAUCUAUAAGUUUGAUUCUGUUAAAAUUUUCUUUUCUUGAAUGGUUGAUGAUAAAUCUAGCGAAGCUUUUGCAUGUAGUUUAUUGUUUGACUUUUUUUUUUUUUGGUUUUGUAUGUGCUAGGUCAAGAUGUUCAAUGUAUCAUGGGAGCCCUUGGCUGAGCUCUUGGCAACUAUUGGACGGUUACAGUUAUUACGCUGCCUGGUUUCUUUUAAGUUGAGGUCCUCAUCAAAGGUAUUAGAUUAGAAUAUUUAACUUUUUGCACCAGUUGAGGUGAAAAUAUAAGGAGCAUAAUUUGAAUCGUUAUCUCAACAACUCGAUCAAUUUUAUGAAUAUUUUUCACUUGAGAAUUGCGAUAGUGGAUUGGAACAUAAUCUUACUUCAUAAGUCGAUGGAAAUAAAGAAUACUAGUAAGAGGACUAAGGAUAUCAACAAUUAUUGAUCUAAAUGUGCUCCUUUUUAGUUAAAAUGUGAUUACUUAAUUUGGCUUGCCUUAGUUCAAUGCUAAGUAAAGCCAGCUAUACGAAUCCCAAAAGCAGUUUAGUCAGAUUUGUCCCAUGGGCUAUCUCCUUUAUAAUCUUAAAGUCUUUUACUGAGUCACUUAGAUCUUCACUGAGGAAAGAUGUCGUGGCAAUAUUUCUACAUUUACUCAUUGAAGAAAUUACCGGUUAGUGCUUAGAUACACUUUUCCAGUUGACGACCUUUCUUUUUGAGAACGUUAGAAACUAAUCGACUCAGAUAUAUAGCUGCUUCCGGCCUGUUGAUGAACAUGUUAAUGCCUCGACUUUCCUCAGGUGAAGAAACAAAGAAUAUCAAGAAAAAUGAAAGUGGAUAAAACUGCUGUGAAGUAGGGCAAAGUCUUAAUUUUUUCCAUCAGGGGAUAGGGUCAUAAGGCUUACUAGCUGGCGUUAGCCCUGAGCGAAAAAAGAGACGACCUGGUUCAUUUCUCUGGGCUGAGCCUCUAAACCAAGGGCAAGAAAAUUUAGGCCUGUCUCGAGUCUCUAAUAUAUUUAGUAGAUUGCCUAGUCCAUUUUUCUUUAAAAUCAACAUGGCUUGGUGCAGCCAUUUUGGACCUGACGUGCGCCUAGAUAAAUCUCAAGGCAAGCAAUUCUCUCUUGAUCUACGACUGUGACCCUGACCUGAAUCUGGCCUGGCCCAGGAUUUGUUUAGGUCUAGCUGGCAACCCUUUGGUAUAAUUGGCAUGGUAUAUUGUCAUGCGAAAUGAAUGGCCUGCUUCCUUUUUGUUCUUUUGUAUUUCUCUUUUAUUACCCUUCUUAUACUGGAGUAAAUUUGAGAAGUUUUAGAUAUUUCCUAUCAAUCUACUUUGAUUUUGCUUCUGUAUUACAUCUGGAAAUGAAUCUCGUUUGUUAAGCUGCAUAAAAAGUAUAUGUUUUUAUUUAAUUAUUUUUUCAGAUAAAGGCCGAUCUUGUAACUUCUGCCACUGAAAACUUGAUUUCUUCAGUUUCUUUGCAGAGAGAACGGAUUCUAGAGGUUUGUAAAGAUAAAUCGUAUUCAUUACGUUGUAUGCGUAUAAUAAUUGUAUACAUGAAUUAUCUUGUAGCAUCAAUUUGGCAGUGCUUAAAAGAUGAAGAAGAGAAGGAUUCAACAGUGCGAAACUUUCUCCAUUCAUUGUUUGAGCAGCAAAGGCUGUGCGGUUUACAAUCUCCGCUCCGAUCAGUCUACAUGUCGGAAGAUCCGCCGACUUGUUUAAGCAGAUUUACUUCUGUUUUCUCAAUAUCACAGGUUCCUUUUUAUCUUAUUCCAUCACAAUUACCAUUUGUUAGCCUCAUUUUCCUAAAAUCAGUUGAAGUUACUUCACUUCUUGGAGUUUAUUAAAUUGAAGCAAAACUGUUUUUUAUCCUUCGAAGUUCUACUGGAAAUCGUUUAUACAAACCGGCCUAACCUCUGAAAGGAUUCUUAGUUAAAACUCCUUGCUAGUACCACACUUUCUAUACUUGCUAGGUUAAUUCUUUGAAACUUUUUACUUAAUUUAUGAUUUUGCAUCCAGUUAUCACGAUACGUGCUCGAUGUCCACUUGGGCACUCUGACCAGUAAAUUGAAGAAGUCGAGUGUUGAUUUCUCUCCUCUGGUAAGUUGCUCCCCUCGUUCUUUUACUAGAAUUAGAUAAUCCGCAAAUUUCUCCUGCAAAAUAUUGAUGUUCUAUUGUGAUCGUAAGUAGCAAUCCCCGAAUAUGCGUUUCUUUCUUUGUUCUGUUUUUUAACUAAUCUAAGCCUUGAUGAACCGUUGAGAGGAUUUAGGUUAUAUAAUAAUCAUGAUGAAGGGCAAUUCUAGUUAUGUGUGUCGAAAUCCCUUUUACAAUGUGCGUGAACAAUUCUCAUAUCACUGAAGUUAGCUGGAAAAAAAAAGUAUCGAAAUAUCCUAGUAUCACACCGUCUUAAGAACAAUAGUGUUGGCUAUUACAAUGCCUUAAGAAAAUGCAUUAAUUUUUUUUUCCCCUCUUUUCCUAAUUUCCAGGUGAUCGGGCUCGGAACAUUUCUUAGGCAAUUUCAUGCUUUCUAUAUCACCCAAUACGCGCAGGUACGUUAAGUGCCCUAUAAUGAUUACCUCAUGUAUGUGUGGUUAUGCAUUACAAUUAUAUGCUUUUUCUUCGUCGAAAUGCAGUUCAUGGGUCAAUACAUACGGAUAGCCGUAGCCACGGCAUCAGAUUCUGGCUCUGAAACUCAGAAAGGAUCUGGCGAUUAUGCAUCCGAGGUUUUGCGUCGUUCUCUCAACUUUUUCCUCUCGAAUUUAUACUAUUUCUUUUUUAAAUUAGCAAUUUGGUUUACAAAACUACAAACCAUUUUACUUAUUUUUACGUAGUAACUUUGUUUCCCAGGUUUUGAAGUCCGCGUUUUGGCUGAUGUUCUUCGGCAAAUACAUGGAAAUCCCGAAGGAGUUGAUCGAAUCUUGCUUCCCUUCUUCGGUCCUCGCUAUCCUUCAAACUUGAAUAAUUCAAAAUUUUUGUCAUUUGAUCUCCGAUAAACCCGAAGAAGAUGAUGUGCUUUUGGCCAUGAUCCAUCGGCGAAAUAACAGCAAAUUAAGAGGAUUUUUCUGUUUUUUUCUUGGAUCUAAGUAGAAAAUGCACAAAUCAGAGGAUGGUAUUUUUUAGUGUUGUAAUGAAUUAAGAUUUUUCUCUUUUUUUGGUUUUUUUUGUUUUUGUUUUUGUUUUGUUUCCUUAGCAAGGGAAAUCUUAUGUUUGUAUUAUUUAUUGUAUUGGAAGAGAAAUAAAAUAAACUUGAUAUGUGGAAAAAAUAUUCACUCUCUUUUCAAAUUUUUUUUUUUCUCACUCUUAAUAGUUUUUGAGUGAAAAAAGAAAAACUCACUAGGGAACAAAACUCUUUGCAAAUGGACCAUAGUUGUAAAAUCCAAAUGAAUGUGGGUUAUUUCUGCAAAAAAAAAGAAAAAGAAAAAGCUUUUAAGUGUUAAGAGCAAAUAUGGAUAAUUUUUGUUCUUUUAAAAUUAGAGGACGAUUUUCAUUAACUCCUUUUGCGGUAUUAAAGUUGUAACAUUUAAAUAAUAUACGUUAUUGUUCUACCUCGCCGUCUAUCACGUGAUGGCACAAAUCUCAAAGUUACGUGAAUGGUUGAUGUGGCCGUCUCCUCUUUUUUUUUUUUUUUUUUUUUUUCAGCUUUACUUACAAGCCGUCACUUUCAGUACGAAAAUGUAAAAAGCACUAGGAGAGGGAGCAGGCGUAAUUUUUCCUCUAUUGGGAGCUAAAAAAUUAAAAUUAAUUACUUCCGCUUAUCCAAAAAACACAAAAAGAAAAAAAAAAAAAAAAAACUCGACCGGUCUCGUUCGCUCCAUGCCCACCCUAAACCUGUCAAAACCCUAAACCUAAUCUCUCUCUCUCCCCUUUCUCUUCUUGUGUUGGUCUCUCUCUCCCUCUCUCUCUCUCUCUCUCUCUCUCUCUCGGUAGGGUUAGGGUUUCGUUUAGGGUUUCGGUUUUUGUUUGUUCGUUGUUUCCCCAAUUCCCUUUGUUGUGUGAAUUUUUUGUGAUUUGCUUGGCUUCUGUUGCAGAGGCUUCGCAACGCGCUUUUCCGAAGCAAGCUUCUAAUGGAGGCUUCUGAAGGGCGGUACGGAUUUCAAAUUCACCUCUCUGGUUCUUAAAUUGGGAAAAAAAAAACCUAAAAAGCUUCAGUUUAUCUGAAAAAAUCUGAUUGUUUUUUUUAAUGCCAGAACAGUUUGAUUUUUUUGAGAACGGUUGUAUUUUUUUGAAGCAAAUUUGGAUUUUUUUUUUUUUUUUGGUUUAAUAUGUGCUAAGGAGCUUAUGUUGUAGUAAUGUAACUAAUGUUAUUUUUAUACUACUUAAUUGGAUCUUAAGUAUGUAAUUUUUGUGGCAAUUCUGGGUGUUUUAGUUACAACCCGGGGCCGGAUUUUGAAGAGGAUGCGAAGGCGCCGCUCCUCGACAUCUCUUCAUCGGACUCGACUGAGCUUUGGCUCAUUCAGUGGCCCAUCAACCAAGUAAUGCUAAUUGUCCUUAAUGCGCUUACGAAUACAUCUUUAUGGGUUUCUAUGUUUUAUAUAGGGAUUGUAAUGUUCGCGUCGUUUUACAAUGCAGUUACAGCCCUCUGAUUUCCAUGGGAAAGAGCUUUCGUUGAAGCUACACCGCGAUGGGCAGUUGGGAAGCUUCGAGAGCUCUUCUGGUGAGAAUGGGUUCUGAGAAUUUUAUUUUAAAUGCUUCCGAUUUUAGUUUAAAUUUCUCAUGGAUGUGUUCUGUUGAGUGUAUAAUUUGUUGAGUGUAUAAUUUGGCAAUAAAAAUUUGCUUUGGUAGCUACUUGUAGGAAUAACGAAUUUCUGGGAUGAUUGUGAAAUCAAUGCAAUAGUGUUGAUCGAUUCAGUAAUCAGUACCUCUUUUACCUAGUUUUUGGAGUAGCUGCUUAUCUACUCAAGAGGCGGAUUUCGGUUGCUUGGCAAAAAACGGAAAGCCUAGAAAUUCUGGCUCCGGCAUAGCUGAGAUUAGGCCCCAAAAGUGGAAGCUUCGAUUUGAAACUUACACUUUGAGCUUCAUAGCCGUGUUGUAGUGAGAAAAACUGGUAGGCGUUCAUUGAAACGAGCCCUAUUCAAAAGCACUUACUAAAAGCUCCAGUAGGCCAGGCCGUAAGUGCCUGUUUGGCGUGGAUUCAACUUUUGCUUUUAUCUGCAUUCACCUCUAUUAAGGUGUUUGGCAAACAAAAAAGAUGGCAGCUUUUGCUGUGGCGGGUAGUAGAAAAGUGAUUUUUUAGGUCAAAAAGUAGAAGCUCCAAACUGGAGCUUCUUAUUUAGAAAUCUGUUAGGAGGAUUUCAUUAUAGUUCUUCUCCGAGAGUGUUACUAAAACAAUAGUUCAUUGAACUGCACUAUGCCUUACAACAGGACCAAACAUGCCCUAAAUCUUAAAGAAACCAAAAGACAGAAAGGGUAGUGAAAAGAGAGAUUAAUCCUCUUUAUGAUGACAGGGAAAUCUUAUGAACUUAUCAGCUUCCAAGCCCAGGAACCAGAUGCAGCCGUCUUCCUUUCUUCAGGAACAGAAUCAAAAGUUGGUACGUAUUCUUGGGAAUUAAUACUCAGGCAAAUGAGUUACGAUUAUCAAUCAACAUUUUAGAAGAACUUUAGAUGGCCAUAUGUCUGUGCCUUUUUUGAGGUUUUUAUUUCCAUUUAGUGCAAGCAUUGGAUUAACAUAAACACAUCUGUAUUUGUUGCCACUUUUUGGCAUACGAAUGUGCUCAGUGUCCGACUAUUGCAUUAUAUUUCAAUGACAUUGUUAAAGAAUGUGAAACAAGCGUUGUUCUCCAAAUGCCUAAGAUACCAUAGAACGGUGUUUUUGUAUUUUUAUAUUCAACACUCCUCGUCACGUUUGGGCUCGCUCGAGACAUUUUGAUAGGUCCAAUACGCGAAAUUAAAUUAAAUGAGAGAAAAUUAAACGAAGCAAGGAGCCUGGCUAGACUCAAAAUCUCUCUCCUGCUCUGAUAUCAUGUUAAAUGAAAUUAAACAACCGAUUUUGUCCAAAAAGCUUAAGUUACCAGAGAACGGUGUUUUUAUAUUUUUAUAUUCAACAGAUAUUAUAAUAUGAAUAUGCGGCAAAAAAAACAUAUGAAUUCAAAAUAUUUAAGUCACCAAAAUGGCAUUUUCAUUCAUGUUUAAGACUUUUAAUUAGUAUCUCCUCAAAGUGCUAAUACUAGUAUUUGCUGUUCCCUUUAUUUUUCACGUUGGGAAGUUUUUCUCUCAAGAAAUAAGAAACCAGGCAUAAAUUUUCUUCUUUUACUCAACAUUGUUUUUUAGUAAUCUGUUGAUUGGUUCUAAGCUAAUGCAAUUAAUCUUGAUAUGCCUUGCUUUAUUUAUUUGCUGCUCCAGUGGGGAAGAUUUCACGCCGUGUUUGUUUAGUCCAUUAUCCAGAACCAGAAGAAUUGGAGAAACCUGGUUUUGGUGCCCUUAAUCUAAGUAGUCAGAGAUCCGAAGGUAAGUACUCCGCUAACAAAUGAAUCUCGUUAACAAUGCUAUCAUGCUGAUUCCCAAAUUUUUGCUCAAUUUGUGACCAUUUAAAGUGCACUCAAAUCGUAUCAGAUAGAUGUUCAAUUCUGGACUGUUUACUUAUUCUCAUUAGGACAAAAAUUAUAUGAUGAGCUCCUCGUCGAUGAUCGAAUGAAAUCGGCUCCGAAGCUGUCCCAUGUCCUUAUUAUCUCCAUCGCCCACUCAAUUACACCCAUUUUCUUUAUUUAGAAAAAUUAUUUCUUAUCAAAAGUUGGUUGAAUGGUUAGAUUGGAAGCAUAGUUGGGAUUGAUGUCAUUCAAUCCCUUAUGAUCAUCUAACAGGAUCUCCUCGUGAAAAUUUCUUGCCCUUUAAUCAGAGUUGUGAUUCCACUAGGUUUUGUUGCGUUGAAGGUCAACUCGAACUCAACCCUAACCUGACCCGACCAAUUGGAUCUUGCGGUGGGUUGAGGAUGGGCUGAGAUGGGUUGGGUUUGAUCGGUUCAGUUUACAAAUGUAAAUGUUUAAGAACUCGAAGUUCAUUCAUUCUCUUGAAUACUAAGCAGUGGCUAAUCUUUUCCAUCGAUGAUUUUCUUCUAAUCUAAAAUUUGAUGAGUGUAUUGUGGUAUCACUCUCACCUUCUCUGAUAUAUUAUGGGUAAGUUCGAGUUUUGGGUUUGUUGUUAACUGUAACCUGACGUAAAUGUGAUUGUCAAAUCCUACAUAGCUUGAUGUUUAAAGUUGGCGAACCUGGGUUGGGAUUCGACCCGAGUUGCGAUAGAUACAAGUGACUACUCUUUUUCAUUAUGUCGCAGGUUCUUUCAGAAAAAGCAUGUCCCGGUAUUCUACAACCCCGUCAAAACACGGAAGCGUUUCGAGGGCCGAAGGAAUGUCUCAUAAUACCCUAGCUUCGGCACAAAGUGCUGCUAAAAAAAUCAGAGGAUCUUCUGACAAAUACAAGCAGAAGAGGGACGAGGCUGCAACAGCGCCUUCUGAGAUAUCCGAAAAGUUUUCGGGCCGUUCUUCUUCUCAUGCUUCUGUAGAAAGCCAAAUGACUAAGAACACCGCAUUAGAGGCCGAGGGGUCUACCCCCGAGAAGUCCGCGAAGAAGAAGAGAAAGAAGAUCAAGGUCGAGGAGUAGCGAGCACUUUUUACGUAUUUCGGUUCUUCUUUUUGCGGAUCACAAAGAGCAAAUUUUGAUGUGCGAAUUGGUCGAGAGCGCAAAAAUAUGUAUUUCGGAACAGGGAAUUUGUAUUUGAAAUUUGGCUUGUUUAGCCAAUUAAUCAUAAAUGUAUUUUUGUUUUCUGAUGUGGUUUGGCAUAAGUAGUUGUUGUGUCAAAGCUUACUAAUAUUAUUAAUAUUAAUGUUGCAUAAAUAAAUGGCUGUUCUUGUUACUUAUUUUUUCUGAGUUGAUAGAGAGAGAAAUUGUUGUUUAGCUCCCUAAUCUUCUAUGAUUUUGAUCUGUUGAGAUCGGUCCUGGGAACUGCUGAUCAAUCUUAAUGGGCGGUUCAUAAUUUUUUGUGAAAAAUGAAAAAUGUAUAGAAGCUAUGCCUAUAGAAAUGUUAUUAAUGAUAUUAAUUAAUCAUCCAAUGAGAAGCUUUGUGUUUUUAAAUGGUCAUGUAUUAUUCUGAUACAAGUAUAAGAUGAGUUUCAUAUGUUCCAUUAUAAAGUACACAAAAUUUUCAUAGCCUUCUAGGUAAACAUGUGAACUAAAAGAAUUAUUUAUUCAUGCAUUUUUAUGUGAAUAAUUUGUAAAUACCCAAAGAAUAUGCUAACCAUAAGUAGGGAUGUCAAUGGGUAUGGACACUCGAAAUUUUAUCCGAACCCGAACCCGAAUGAAACGGAUAUAUUCGAUGCUAAAUGGAUAUGGAUUCAUAUAUGGAUAUUAAAAAUAAAAAUCCGAUGGAUAUGGAUUCAGAUAUGGAUUUUGACUGUACCCGAUCCGAACCUGAACCCGACCCGAACCCGAAUUUAUUUUGUAUUAUAUAUAAUAUAUAUAUAAAAAUUUGAUGUUAUAUUUGAAUUUGUAUUUUAAAAAUUUAGAUUUAAUAUAAUAUAUUUUGAAAUAUUGAAAAAAAAAUAAUUGUUUGGGGUUCAAAUUUUCGGGUUUGGGUUCGGGUUCGGGUUUUGGAUUUUUGGUCGGGUUCGGGUUUAAAUAUGAAUUUUUAAAACCCGUCGGGUUUGGAUCUUGGGUUUGAAGUCGGGUUCCGGUUCGGGUGCUUGAAAAUCCGCCCCGCAUCCGAUCCGUUGACAUCUCUAACCAUAAGAGAGAGAGAGAGAAAUGGUCAACUAAAAACCAUCCAUUAAACUUGGUCAAACACUAAACUCUCUCUCUAAAUCCACUCUCCACCACACAAAUCCCAUGCUAAAACAGGUUUGCACCAACUUAUUAAUUCCACCCACUAAGUUAAUCCCAAAGCUAAGCCAGCCUCAAAAAAUUAAUCCUUAACUACUACUACUAUUGCAAACUCUCUCUCCCUUCCCAAUCCUCCAAUUCAAACUUACUUGGAAAGAACAAAAAAAAAAAAAAAAAAAAAAACCAAGAGGAGGGAAUUUCAAAAUGGCCAAGCUCCACGCCGUCGUCGCCGCUCUCUUCUUCGCCCUCGCGGGCUCCACAUUCGCUGCUCCGGUCCCCGAUUUCGUCGUCGAGGGCCGCGUUUAUUGUGACACGUGCCGCGCUGGAUUCGAGACCAGCGCCACCGAGUACAUCGAAGGUUAUAACAGCGUCUCGAACAAACAUGAACUGAACUGAACUGAACUGAACUGAACGUCCUCUCGAUUUCGUUUAUACGAAAUACUAAACUACUGUUCUGUUCUCUAGCUGCUUAAGCUUUUAAGGAAAGUACGUAACGGUUGUUGUUGUUGUUGUUGUUGUAUGUUGUUGUGAUGUUAUUGUAGGUG
RNAcentral lists this long non-coding RNA (59972 nucleotides) under Ananas comosus (pineapple). RNAcentral describes it as "long non-coding RNA (ACOM_LNC030004)". Lineage: Eukaryota; Viridiplantae; Streptophyta; Magnoliopsida; Poales; Bromeliaceae. The record is from RNAcentral.